This 44142-nucleotide long non-coding RNA is filed under the name Vitis vinifera (wine grape). RNAcentral describes it as "long non-coding RNA (VVIN_LNC001392)". Lineage: Eukaryota; Viridiplantae; Streptophyta; Magnoliopsida; Vitales; Vitaceae. The record is from RNAcentral.
CAGGAGUUGGUGGCUUCUUGUAUGGAGUUGAUGGAGGUGUUUCUACUGGAGGGUGGCCAGGGUAGUGACCCUGGGGUGGUGAAGGUUCUUUUGUCGGUGGUGGCCUCACUAUUAUUGGCGGUAGAGUUGGUGGCUUGGGCGUUGGCGGUGGUCUCACUACUCUUGGGGGUAGAGUUGGUGUCUUGUGUUUUGGUGGUGGAGGUGGCUUAACAGGAGUUGGUGGCUUGUAUUCUGGGGGUGGUUUCUCCACCGGAGGUGGCUUAUAAACUGGAGUUGGUGGCUUGUAUUCUGGGGGUGGCUUCUCCACUGGUGGUGGCCUGUAAACAGGGGUUGGUGGCUUAUAUUCUGGGGGAGGCUUCUCCACUGGAGGCGACUUAUAAACAGGGGUUGGUGGCUUGUAUUCCGGGGGUGGCUUCUCUACGGGAGGUGGCCUGUAAACAGGGGUUGGUGGCUUCUCCACCGGAGGUGGCUUAUAAACGGGGGUUGGUGGCUUGUAUUCUGGGGGUGGUUUCCCCAGUGGUGGAGACUUGUAAACAGGAAGAGGUGGUUUGUGCUCAUAUGGGGGUGGCUUGUGGUCAUUAGCAAGUGAGGGAGUGGUGAGGACCACCAAUCCAAGGAACAACACGAGUGAGCAAGCAGAAGACAUGUUUGGGCUCUGGUGAUGCACAAGUAGAAGAAAUGGGAACCAUUUAUAAUGCUUCGAGACCUUGGUUAGCACCAAAAUAUGUCAAAAUCUUGAUUACUUCAUUUCAUACAUAGAUUUAAAAUUAUUUCAAUCAACCAUGAUCCUUAAUUUUCUGGGUGGUCCAUAAAUGUAAUGGGGUCAAUUUGGGACCUAACAAGCUGAGAAGUUUGACAAUGCUGCAAGGCUUCAUCCGAAAGUCCGGGGAAGAAUAUUAGGAGUUACACUCCGUUUCCUUUUUUGGGUGCAUUUUUCUCCUUUAACAUUCUAUUCCCUUUUACAUUAGCAUUUGAUCUUAGCUCAUUUCAAGUACAAGUUUCUUGAACCCUAUACCAUUGUCAAAGUUGAGUAACCAUCUCUACUUUGCUCAAGAAACAUAAAAGACAAUGACAAUAAAGAAAAAGGAGAGAGACCAUACGUGACUUGGUUUAUAGGUGGCUUUGUGUUGACAUUUGAGUAUGGAAGCCGACAUGCAUCUUAGCUUCGAUUUUAAUUAAAUUUGUACAUUAGUGUCUGUGUCAUUCAUUUUGGUAUAAAAGGUCUCUUGAUUUCGUAAGUUUGGUAAGAACCGUUGAAAAUAGCAGUAGCAGCACAUGGUCCACUUUCUUUCACAAAAUAAUUUUAAAAGUUUAGAAGCAUAGGAGGUAACAUUAGUGGCCUUGUGGCUCAGCCACGAGUACUAUGUGGUGCUCGAGAAAUUGAGUUUAAUUUCCUUCCGAUAGUUCAUGAUAAGGUCCGUCACUGUCCUGAGACAGAUUGCGUUUUUUCUUUUUUCCUUUUUUAGUGUUUUAUUGACUAGCUAGGUGUGACUUUUCCUACUUUAAGGCACGAGGCAGAAAAGAAACUGGGAUUUAGUGCUUAAGAAGGCAAAUUUAAUUCGAUUUGGAUCUAAAAUUUGCCAGCAACAUGAGAUUUUCCAGCCUAUCGUUGCUCCACAUAUAGACAAGGCACUUGUAGAAGUGGCUUGUUUGUAGCCAUUCCCGAUAUUUGGACUCACUUGAUUCACCGGACACUUUGAUAAAAUUUAAUAUUUAUUAUUUAAUAAUUUAAAUUGAUUUAAAAUUAAAUUAUACCGAAGUUGUGAUUUAAAAAUUAUUAUUUAAUUCUUACUUUUAAAUAUGAAGAUUAUUUGAUAAAAAUAAUUUAAAAUUUAUUAUAAAUUAUCAAAUUAACAUAUUUAUCCUUAUAAAUUAUAAUUAAAACAGAAAAGGUCAAAUGAUUUGAGUAUCCAUAGAUGUGGUAAAAUAAUAAAAAAGAUUAUAAAAACAAUUAUGAUAAAUAAAGAUAAAAAGUAAAAUGAAUAUGUGAAUUUAAAGAAUAAAUUAAUUAUUUUUAUUUAUUACUUAAAAUUAUUUUUGACUUUAAAUUAUAUUAUUAAAUUAUUUUACCAAACAUACUUAAUUUAGUUAAUAAUUUAAAUUUAAUUUAAGUUAUUAAAUUGAUUCACCAAAUACCCACUUAAUCAAAGACUGAAGUAUACAUUAUUUGGCCAAAUGCAGCUAUUGAAAUUUAACUUUUUCCAAACUUAUUCAUUUUGUGGAAAUAUUUUUAGAAAUGAUUUUAAAAAUGCACUAUUCUGUGUGUUGAUUUUAUAUUUUGGCAUUAAUCCAACAUAGAAAACGGUUCUUAUUUUCGCUGUUAAAUAGGUACCAGAUCCUUAAUUAGUGCCGUGAAUCCGGCAGCUUCCAAUGAGUAAUUUGGACUUGGGUAUUGACAAUGUGUGGCCAUGCUUCUACUAUUUUAUUAUUCUUGAAACAUAUAUGAUAUAUUGGACUUUAUACAGGGAAAAAAAAAAAAAAAAGUCUUCACCAAAAAUGAUUCCUCCUAAAAAAUAGACUCCACAAACUAGGUUUAACAGGAAAAUGAUUCUAAUCUAGUAGUUUCCAGCCACAUGAGCAUUUACGUAACAAUAGUAUAGUUGAUAACGACUUUUAUUUUAUUUAUUUUUAAAUAGUUAAAGGGAUAAUUUUUGAGCUUAAAUUUUAUUUUUUUAUUUAGAAACAUUUUACUUUAUUUUUUAAUCAUAAUUCUAUUAUAUUAAUGUUUUAUUUUCUAUUUUUUAAUAUAUAAGGAGAUACUAAAUUUAUGUGAUUAUUUUUUAAAAAUUUAGUAUAUGAAAUUAAAUAAUUGGAUAUAUAUACAUAUAUCAUAUAAUGUUUUUUAAGUGUGAUUUUUGAACUUUUUAGUCAUUUUAUAAGUUUAAGCUUUUGAUUUUUUUUUUUAAACUUUGGUAUUUUUUAUUUUAUAUAAAACUAUUUUGAUUUAAUUUUAUUAAAAAAUAUUGGUAUUAUAAAUUAUUGUAUUAAUUAUUUUUUUAUAUUAUAAUGUAACUGGUAUAUACUAAAAAAUGUAUGCAAGUUCAAUUUAAGUUUCAAAUUAAAAAAUUUCAUUUAAAUAUUUAAUAACUUGUUCAUAAUAAAAAAUUAAACAACAUAAUACAAAUGAAAAGAAACAUAAAAGAAAAAGGAAAAAAUGGUCCUCUCUGUGUGUCACAUUACUAGGUCAUCCUCUUUUUCUAUGACCCUUACAAUAGAAUGGCAUAUUUGUCAAAUCUACUUAUGAAAGUUGGAAUGUUUCUACAUGUGUAGGGUCCAUUGGAACUAAUGGAGGAAAGGCUUAACGUCUAUGUAAAUCACAACGUUGCCUAGGUGGGCAUAGAUCUAGUUGUGUAACAUGAGAUGGUGUGAGAGUACAAUAUAUGCAUUGUAGUCUCUAUGGGAAGAGAGAUAGGUAAUGGUAGGGUGGUAGACGGUAGGGUGAUCUCUAAUAUAAUGACAUUUGAUGUGGUGGCUUCUAAGAGAGGAGAUAUAAGAGAUGGUAGAAUGACAUUUGGUGUAAUGGUCUCUAGUGCAAUGACAUGUGAUAUGGUGACCUAUAAAGAAGAGAUAUAGGUGAUGGUGAAGUGGUAUGUGGUGUAGUGACCUUUGAGAUAGAAAAUAGAGGUAAUGGUAGGUUGGCAGGUGGAGUGGUCUUUGGUGUAGUGACAUCAAUUAUAAAUGUCUCCAAGGGAGGAAAUAAAGGUGAUGGUAGGUAGUAAAUGUUGAGGUGGUCUUUGAUAUGUUAUGCUCUAAGAGAGAAGGUAUAGGUAAUGAUAAUAGGGAAUUUGACAUAGUGGUGUUGGAAAUAAAAAGUGAAAGUGACCGUAGAGGUGAAAGGGCAAGUGUAAAAGCCUCAAGUACGAAUGGAGUAAUUAAUGUGGAUGGUGCUAACAUAGUCUUAGGUGGAUACACAAAUAGUCAUAGUCAUCAACUAGCUUGCCCACCAUCUGUCUUUCUGCUAGUGAUAGGUUACAUCUUAAUAGUAAUGGCCAACAUAAGUGGUGUGGAUCCGAUUUUUUUACGUGUGUCCCCACUCAAUCGACAAGACUUAUUUUUUAUUAGUGAAAAAUUAAUUUUGGAAAAGUUGGAGUCACCACUUAUUUUAUUUUAUUUUAAAAAGGAAAGUAAAACAAGAAAGAGAACUCUAAAGAAGUGACUUCAUAGUUUUGGAAAAGUUAGUCUUAAAAAAUCCAAGUCUUGGUCCGGAGAUCAGGUUACUUAUUGGGAAGAUACCUCUAAGAGGUAAUACCCCUCUAAACCCUAAAGAAGUCUCUAAUGACUAAGUUGAGGAGAAUGUGGUAAUUAAUUAAUUGAUUGAGGGUACCUAGGUAGACUAAGGUGAUUUCAGAAUUAACAUACCAAGCUAGAAAGUCCAAUCAUGAUCAUAAAAGAGAGUCAAAGUAUGUACCUGAACUGCUUCUCAAACGCUAUCAUAAAACAUCAAAGUUAGUAUAGAAAUAUAACACAUAAUAUUUGUUUUAUCCAAGCAAAUAAAGCAUACAUCUAAGCACCCAAGAAUCACAUCAAGUAUGGAUAUAGUCAUCAAUAGCAUACGUGUCCAUAGAACUAUCGAAAGUAAAUGUGGAGGAGCGUAUCUGGACAACAUAGAUAACUUAUAAUGUGCUUCCACAAGACAUGGGGGUUAGAUAAAAGUUAUAAUAAUAAUUAGUAAAUGAAAGAAUUCUAGCAUGUUUGGUAUCUAAAUAACAUAGCAAAAAUGAACAAGAGUACACGAAAACAUCAAUUAUCACACGAGUCAUAUUGGCUAGUAUUUAAUCAAUAAACCAACAAUAAAUGACUAUAAACAUAUAAAAUGACAUAUUCAAAGAGACCCAAACAUAAAGAGCCUAGAACACAAGCUUACACUAAAUUUAGAAAACUAAAACAUGGAAUUUUAAAAGCAUAAAUUAGCAAACAAAUUGAUGGAAACUAAAUUUAGAUAACUUAAGAAUAUUUUUCUUAUCCUUCAAUUUAAAUCAGUAAGCCAACAAUAAAAAAUUAUAGAAACAUGGAAUAUCAAGAUCAAUGGGAUACCUAAACUAUAAUUUUUAAAAGAAAAUAAACUAAGCAUAAUAUCUACAAAGCAACUAAACUAACAUUUUUUUAAAAAUAAAUUAAACAUGACAUUAAUGGAGUAACCAAACUAAAUUAAAGUAAACUAAAAACAUUUAUGAAUUUUCAAACAUGGAAUCAGCUUUCUUAGUAAAUUAAAAUUAUUAAAAUAAAAUCUAAGCUUAAAAAUGAAUUAAAUACUAACUAAAGCAAAUCUAAAACCAAAUAUUUAACACAUAGGAUCAAUUAUAUUAACAAACUAAAAUUUUAUAAGAACACUUAAACCUAAAGUUGAAUUAAAAACUAACCAAUUUUUAAAACUAGAUCUUUAACCCAUAGGAUCAAUUAUAUUAACAAAUAAAUAAUAAAUAAUAAAUAAAUAAAACUCAAACCUAAAGAUGAACUAGAAAUGUACCAAAGUAAAUUCAAAACAAGAUCUUUAACACAUUAGAUCAAUUAUAUUGACUAACUAAAAAAAAAAAAAAAAAACACUCAAACCUGAAACGAUGUAUUAGAAACUAACCAAAGCAAAUUUAAAAUAGAGUCUUUAACACAUAGGAUCAAUUAUAAUCACUAACUUAAAUUACAAUUUUUGAAACAUGAACUAAUUAGUGUUGGAUUAAUUAAACUAAUUAACUAAAAAAAACUAUAAACUAGAAUACGGUGAAUCAAGAAUUCAAAUCAACAAACAUAAAAUAUGGGUACAAUGAAAUGAAAAUCUAUUAAACUAAUAAGACGGAAAUAUGACAAACUCAUGAACCCACAUUUUGAUCAACUAGGAAAUAGAAAUUAAUAGACCUGUAGCAUGGAUACAAUGAAAUGAGAUCAGUUAAAUUUAUUUGCCGAAAUUCUAAAAAACACAUACACUCAAAUAAGAUCUAAAUCUAAGACCAAGCAAAACUCAAACUUUCUCAAUCUAAUGCAAUGAAUCAAAACUAAAAUUAAAUAGAAAUCAAACCAUUUUUUUUUUAUCUAAUAUAAUAAAUCAAAGCUAAAACUAAACAAAAUCGAAUUUUCUUAAUUUAAUAUGAUGAGUCAAAGCUAAAAUUGAACAAAGUUCAAACCUUUAUAUAAUGGAUCAAAGUUAAAUCUAAAUGAAAUCCAUACUUCCACAAUUUGAUAUAACAAAUCAAAAAUAAAACUAGAUAAAAAAAAAGUCAAAGCCUUUCAACUUGACAUAGUGAAUCCAAACUGAAACGAAACAAAAUUUUAACUUUUCCAAUGAAACCCAAUAUAGAAAAAAUUAGCUUACCUUCUUUAGAAUAUAUGUAUGGGCCAUAAAGAAGUCACCUUGGUGCAUGUGUUCCUCACUUUGACGCCAAUGGACGACUUUCUAUGGUAGCAAAUGGAGAUCCUUUUUGGUGGUAACUUGCGUGUGGAAACCUAUGGUACAACCAAUGUCAUCUUUUAUUGUGCGUGUGGACCAAUUUCUUCUCGAGAACUCAUGUGUGUUGUGCUCAAAAUAUGUUGCCUGUGAGAAUCUAUUGGUAUACCCCACAUAUGGUUUCCUUGAGAGAAUCUGUGGUUGUGUGUGGGCGUUUUCUUCAUGACAGCAUGUGGAUGUUCCCAUCUAUGGUAGAUUGGUUGUGAUGCUUUAGUGCAUGGUCUCCAUAGGAAUAGUGUGUUAUGGAAAUUUGGUUUUUUUAUUGGUGCAUGUUGUCUAGACUUUCCCAUAUGCGUGGACUGUGUGUUCAUGCUUUUCUUUUCGGAUGGUCGCCUGUGUUAAUGUGUGGCGGUGUCUACAAUGAAAGAUACAACCCUUUCUCUCCUUCUGCGUGAUAGAAAAGUCAAUCCCCCAUGGUGCGACUAUGUUCCCUCGUCCUUUUUGAAAAAUUUUGGUGUUUUCCCCCCAAAAAAUCCCCUCCAAAAAUCUAAUUAUAAAUGUCUGCUUUGGCCUAAUGUGUGUGCUACUUUUUUUUUCCUUCUUUUUAUGGUUGUGCGUGCUUUUCUUGAUACGUGGCUUAUUUCUUAAGGAUAUGAUUCGCUCCCAAUUGGUGUCUCAGCUGAUUCAUGUCCUUUCAAUGGUCCCUGACAGUGGUGCCAUUUGAUUCGUGUCCAGCUGGUGUCCCUUGAUUGUGGUCCUCAGAAGGGAGUAAUCAAUAAAAUUUAUAACCUAUUACACCAUGUAUUAGGAUAGCCUUAGCUAGCAUAGCAUAGUGGCUCUAGGGUCGUUUAUUGGGAUGAGUUUUCACUUCACAAUUGAUAUUAAUUCAAGAGCUGAAUUGGUGCCUUUUCAUUUCAAGGUUAGCUUUAAAAGAAAACAUAAUCUUUGGUGGAAAAAGGUUUGGUUUUAAACUAACCAAAAAUAGUAACUGAUUUUACUUACAAAGAAAAGUGUUCUUUGGAGUUUAGAUCACUAGGCUCAGGUUCCUCAUACAAAAAGGAGAGUUCCGAUCAUUUGUUUCUUUUCCUCGCAUUAGAGAAUUAACAUAUAGUUAAUUCUCUAACCGGUGCGGUACAUAUGCUUCCCAUUAAUGGGUUCAAACACUAAAUACCUCUCACUGAUGCACCUUGCAAUGGCUCGUGCCUCUCACCUAGCAUUUAUCAUUCAAGGUGAUCUUUAACCUUGGAUUACCCAUCAAAAGCUCGCAAGAGAUAACUAAAGGAUGUCUCCUUAGAGUCCAAAAGCUUACCAAGUGUUGGUUAUUCUAGAAAAUCCUACCUUCAAACCACCUCCCAAAGGCUCGCAAGAGAUAAACAAGUGCAUCUCAAUGGAUGAAGAUCACUUGCCUUACCAAGUUUUGGCCCAGAUGAUUUAAUGACAUUUUAAGUUAACUAAAAAGAUAAAAACCAUUAACGGGUCACACUUUCUCUUCAUUAAAAACUAAAACAACAAAACUUCCAAUUUAUGCAUGAGGAAACUUACCUGGCUUUCUUCACUUCAAGAGAUGAAGAGCCUAGCCACUCAUCAUUUGAGGAAAAAUCCUCAGAGUUUGAUUUGCUAGAAAUAAAAAUAAUGAGAAAACAAAAAUAUAUAUAUGAAAAACAGAGCAAGUUCUCUGUAAUAUAUUUUUCUUCCUUAUACAAAAGGUUGUCUCUAAGAACAAGUUCCCGAGAUCUAUCUGAUUGUAAAUAAAAUUACAACUAUAUAUAAGAGGUUAUUCACCCCUUUGUUCUUUCUUAAAGACUAAGGAAUCCUAUGAUAGGUGGGUUACAAGGAGAGUUUGGGGAUUUAGACAUCAAAUAUCUAAAGCAAAAUAUCUCAAGAUGUUAGUCGGAAAUAUCAGGAAGCUUCAGGAGAACACCGCGACACUGUAUACUGAGAGAAAAACUCUCCGGGUAAGCUCUAUCAAAGGAUCCAGACAUGUCUGACUGGGAAAGUUGAAACGUCCUUCUCUCCCAUCCGGAUGUGAGAUAUCCGGAGAAAGUGAAAUGUCGGUCGGACAGAAUUCUUUCCCCGGGUGGAAUGAGUUGUGUUGCGCGUCGCAAGGGGGACCGUCUGCGUGUACAAGUUGUAGGGACCCCUCUCCCGGAUGACACCGAGCGCGUAAGGCUAUCCGGAUCAACUCCAUUCGGAUUCCCCAAGAGGACAUGUGGCGUGCUCCCCUAUCAGGACUCCCUUAGGGAGAAGCACACGACACUCGUGAACAUCAUACCCGGACGAUAGCAUGUCCUAUCCGGAUGUGUUGUCCGGAUCAUUGACUAAAGUGAGCAAGCCUUGCUACGUCAUUCGGACAGCUUGCCACAUACCAUGUUCCGUCGCCAUCUGAUGGUGUGUCCGAACGCCUUGUCCGGACAUCUUUUGCUCCUUGCAUUCCGGAUUUGCUUAUGACAAAGGACUUCAAAGCUUCGGUUCUUCAUGUUUCUGAGCUUUCCAUUGCUUUGCCAUGGAUUCCAAAGAACUCUCCUUAAUCACGGAUUGCUUUGGUGAUCAAAAAGUUAUCAAAACACAAAAACUUAACAUAGUUUGAUUAGAAUUGAUUGCAAGGGUUCUUAAUAUGUUAAUUGGGUUAAAAGGUGAUAACUACUACUCAAAAGUGUUUAUAAGAAUUAAUUACAAGCUAUGAAAUAACACUUUUUGAGUAGUAAUCAGGAUACAUCCUAGUUUUUCAUGGAAUUGAUAGUGGGUUGUUGUGCAUGAAUGCCACCAUUUCAACUAUGCUGUUGUUAUUUUUAAAAAAAAUAUGGAUUAUGCGCGAGUGGCAAUUCUCCACUAUGGAAAGUGGAUUGCUCCUUCAACCCAUGCAUGGCUACGUAUUCCUAUGUCUUUCUACUUGUGUUUGAUCCUCCAAAAAAAAUUUCGGUUUAGUGCUAGUAGAUUUUAAGUGGUGGAUCCCCAUUUUUUGAAAAUGAAGUGGCAGCCUCCCAUUUCAAGACAAAAUGGUAGCCUGCCUUUAAUCUUUGGAGAAAAAUCUGUGCAUGACCUUUUUUUUUCCCAAAAAAUCCGUGCAUGGUGUCCUUUAAUAUUUGGAGAAAAAUCUAUGUUGGAUCUUUUCUUUUCUAGAAACAUUUGUGUGGUCUUUUUUGUUAGCCCAAGGGUUCUUCUAAUCAAGUUUUGAUGAUAACAAACCAUGGUUAAGUGACUAAUUGGUUUAAUGAUUAAGAAUCUCAAACAUAAAAUCGAAAAUUCAUCAAAGGACCAAAUGGAUACAAGAUCGAGACGCUUGGAAGACUUGUAAUCAUAGGAAACUAAUGUAAGAUGAAUGCAUGAGUGCACUUAGGAUUUUCACACGUUUCAUGCAACUUAGAAAACCCAGUUUAUUCUUUAAAACUUCAUCCCAGUUUAUUCUUUUUAUGGUUGUGUGUGCUUUCCUUGAUACGUGGCUUAUUUAUUAAGGAUACAUCCCAGUUUUUCAUGGAAUUGACAGUGGGUUGUUGUGUGUGAAUGCCACCAUUUCAACUGUGCUGUUGUUAUUUAAAAAAAAAAAAAAUGGAUUGUGCGCGAGUGGCAAUUCUCCACUAUGGAAAGUGGAUUGCUCCUUCAACCCAUGCAUGGCUACGUAUUCCUAUGUCUUUCUGCUUGUGUGUGAUCCUCCAAAAAAAAUUUUGGUUUAGUGCUAGUAGAUUUUAAGUGGUGGAUCCCCUUUUUUUGAAAACUAAGUGGCAGCCUCCCAUUUCAAAACGAAGUGGUAGCCUGCCUUUAGUCUUUGGAGAAAAAUCUGUGCAUGACUUUUUUUUUCCCAAAAAAUCCAUGCAUGGUGUCCUUUAAUAUUUGGAGAAAAAUCUAUGUGGGAUCUUUUAUUUUCUAGAAAAAUUUGUGUGGUCUUUUUUGUUAGCCCAAGGGUUCUCCUAAUCAGGUUUUGAUGAUAACAAAUCAUGGUUAAGUGACUAAUUGGUUUAAUGAUUAAGAAUCUCAAACAUAAACUCGAAAAUUCAUCAAAUGACCAAAUGGAUACAAGAUCGAGACGCUUGGAAGACUUGUGAUCAUAGGAAACUAAUGUAAGAUGAAUGCAUGAGUGCACUUAGGAUUUUCACACGUUUCAUGCAAUUUAGAAAACCCAGUUUAUUCUUUAAAACUUCAAUUUCAUUAAAACCCGAGUUUUUAACUAAUGUACCUUAGGCAAAAUGUUUUAUAAUUGGCUUAAUAAUUCACCUAAAUACAUUUUCUAAGUGUUAGAAAAGAAAGGAAUUAAAAAAAGGUUUUCGGGGCAAAAAAGGCUCAACCGGUCGAGGCUAUGGUCAACCGGCUCAACCGGUUGAGGAACCAAUCGAUCGGUUGUGCUUGUCCGAUCGAAGACCAAUCGAGGGAUGCCAAAAAAUUUCUCUCUCUCCUAGUGGCCUUCUCUUCCCGGUCGAGGUUCGGUCUAGGCAACGGUAACAUGUCAAGCAUUAAAUGCUCCGACGACUAGUGAAUCGGUCGACCCCUAGCCCGAUCGGACGAGGUUGCCUUUUGCUGUUUUUGACUCCCGAGCUUAGAAACCUAUAAAUUGAGAGCUCCACUUCAUUUAUUGAUAAAAGAGAACACUUGCAUUCAAUAGUCUACCUACCUUUUCUUGAUCAAAAAGCUCUCAUUUCCUUCAUAGUGCAUUAAAUCAUCACUUGCAUAUCCUUUAGUGCACUAUUGUGUGUCAUCCUAGCUUUGUUUUGUAUUUGAGCUAUCCUUAAGCUAGGUUGAGGGAUUAUUUCUUAUAAAAAUCUGAGUGUUAAAGCCUUCAAGAGAUUUGAAUCUUGAAGAGAUUGUGUAAGAGCCCAUUGGAGCCGGAGUCCAAGUGUAAGAAGAUUGGAAGCUUGGUUGAAGCUUCAAGUUAGUGGAACCCUCACUCGGUUAGGAGGUUGAGGAGAGUGGACGUAGGUAAGGAAGUGUCGAACCAUUAUAAACCCGAGUUUGAAUUCUCUAACUCUAUCUCUUUAUUUUGCUUAUAUUGUGUUUGAAUUUGUUGUGAUUGAAAAGAUUUUAAAAACCUAAUUCACCCUCCCCCCUUUUGGGUUUUUUUUUCUUAAUUAAGCAUAACCUUUGUUUUCUAAUUUUCUUUUUAGGAAAAUCCAUGCGUGGUAUGUCCAAACUCUCCAAGUGGCAGUCUGCCUUCUUCUAAAAAAUUUGUUUCUAUUUCUUUAUUCGACUACCUUCCAUGUCUUCCUAAUGAGUGCUUGUGCUCAAUGGUCAAUCCCUGGUGGUUGCCUCCUUUUCCCAUAUAUACGUGUUGCAAAAUCAACAUCCCACUAUAUGUGGGUUGCCUCUAUGGCAAGUUCACAUUUCCCACAUGAAACCUAUGAGUUUCCACCAAAAAUUGCCAUGAAAAAGUCUUUAUAUGCAUCUCAUGCAAUAAAAAGUCAAGCCAAUACUCAUCUUAUCUCGAAAAAUAAGUAACCAAAAUCAAGAUCAUGCCUAAGUGAACUAUGCCAAAAGAAGUGUCCAAGUGACCUAUUAUGAAAAAAGUGCCUAAGUGACCUAAGGUGAAUGUGUGUAAGCUGGAAGGUGUCUAGGAUGUUUAGGACAAUGCCUAAGCCUAAAAUAGGGUUGCCAAGGGUCACAAUGGGGUUAGAUAAAUCUCUCAAUCAGAGUCUCCAAGGUGGCUCAUAAAAGAUAAGCUACACGAGUAAUGAUGGGCCACCAGGGAAUUAUUGUAAAGCACCAAACGAACACAUAAUAGGACAUGUGUUAGAAUGAAAAAAUGGAGGGUUUACAAGUGGUCUCAUGGAUGAGCUUGAUAAUUUAAAUGACUCACAUAAUGAACGUAUGUGAUGUUUCUCUCCAAUAACAAGCAAAACAUCACUAGCAAUAUGAUGAAUGUCUCCUAAAUCACUUGAAGUAGUCCUAGCAAAUCAAUUAGAAAAAUCACACAUAUUGCUCUAAUGUAAUAUUAUAUACAUCUGUCAAUGAAUGGGAGAACUAAUGACACAACCAUCAUGUUGAUAUCUCGAACCCUCUAAUCUCAUAUGUAGGUGGGAUCACACUUAGAAACUCAUAACACAGUAAUGACCAAUCUAAGUCAAAAUGUGUUGGUGAUCGGAGGCCCAUGAAUAUGAAGUUCUAGGAUGAUAAUGACAUCUUAUAAAGUAAUGAUCAUCUCCUUAAUAGAUAGGUGAAAUGUGUGUGUCUUAGGACACCAUCUCUCAACAAGACUUGUGAUCAAUCCCCAGUCUAGUGUAACAUGCCUAUUAUGACAUCCAUCGUAAAAUCUAGACUAGAUAAUAUAAGGACAAAUGUGAGGGUUCAUCUCCCUUUCCCACAUAAAUUUAAAAAAUUAUUAUUGACAAGUUAAGACCAAACUAAGUUGCAAAAUAUAAAUAAGUCCAUUAGAUAACAAAUUUAUGUUUUCUCAUUUUCUCAUUUUUAAAGAGAUAUUAUGUGCUUCCAUGUACAUACAUGCUAAAGUCAAUUAUACGAGACUUAUAUCCAUCUUGUAGAACCAAAUCGAACCUAUCUAAUAGAUCCAGAUUAGAAGUAUGUCCUCUAUACUCCAUAUUUAUAACACAUUUAUAAAGAUAAAUGCUAAAAAAAUGUUAAAGAUAUAAAUUUAAUGAACCAUACUUUAUGAUUUUAAUUCUCAAUUAUUGUUCAUAUUUAUAAGAGAAAAGUUAAAAAAAUUGAUAGAGUUUUCCCUCUAUCAUGGACAUUAUCCCAAAUAAAAAUAAAUUGAUUAUGCAAAUUACAUUAAUAUUUGUAACCAAAUGAUCAAUAACUAUCUUGUAUCAAUUUAGUAAAUAAAUUUAAGUAUAUCUUUUCAUUUAUGACUAACAAAUAACUCAUACUUGUCCAAUAAAAGCCACACCUAAUUUCUAAAAUUUUGUCUUCACCUCAAGUGAGUGUUACAUUGAGAAAGAAAAAAUAUGAAAGAAAAAAUGAACACCUUUUUCUUUUAAUAAAAAAAGGCCAUAACGAAACAUUAAAUCUCACUGUUACACCUAUCUUCAAUGGAAACAUGAGGAUGUGAAUGGUGGCGGUGAUAUUCUUUGCUUGAAGCUCAUAAACAAAUAUUCCUUACUAAGCCUAUGCCAUUUAGUAUUUCAAUAGUGGACCCCCCCCCCCCCCCCCCCCCCCUCCUUGCAUUUCAGAUUUAGCAAACUUAGAACCAAAUAACAAAGUGCAUUUGAACCCAUAAAGAAGUAAUGAGACUCUCCUAUAUUGGCAAUAGAAGAAAUUUUUGGAGGUAUAGGAGAUUCACGGAUGAAGAAGUUGGGCCCCAAUUGAGAUAAGACCCAAGAAAAGAUGGGGUAGAGAGGGAUGGUUGGAAAUUGUAAAGUAAGAUUUUCAAAAUGUAGUUGAUGACUAAGAUUUUGACAAUUUAAAAAAGGUUUAAAAAUGUAGUUAGCAAUCGGGGUUUUGUAACAUUUAAAAAAUAAAAUAAAAUCUCAGGCCACAUGGUAGCCCAUGUGAUUCAGAAGCUUGAGAAUUAUUUUAUAAGAAGACUUAAUUUGUGAUUUUUUUAUAACUAUAUUAUUUUUUUUCUUAACACACGAAAAAAAUUAUGAAAUAAGACAAUUUUCCUAAGAAAGCAUGUAAGUGACUCUUGGUUAUUUUAUUUAACUUCUUCUAGUUUGGAGAGGAUUAAUACCUUUGCUUUUACUCACUUGCUUGGAUAUGUACACGUUGUUCAUGUCACUUUUCAUUUAAUUUUCUGAUUAAGGGAAUUGGAACCGUACGUAACUGUCUUUAUUCCCUCUGAAACUUGGACUUGGAGUUGGACUUUCAAUCUCAUCAGUCGUGUUUCCAUAAAAAAGAAGAUGGAUUAACCAAUUUUCCUAUGCCUACUAAUCAUACACAAAACUCCACUUCCAAAUAAAAAGGAAUGGGAUAUCACUUGUUAAUAGUGGCUAAAGACUAUUAAUAACCAUGCAAAGAAAUGUCACAUUUUUUGUUCUACGCAAAUUUUAUUCAUCAACUACUAGAACCAUUUCAUACAAUAGUAGCUUUUCGAUCCUUUGAUAAAUGGACACUUGAUGUGAUAACACCAACUACACCUAUAUAUUCAAGCAAUCAUGCGUAUAUAAUAGUGGAUAUGGAUUACUUCUCUAAAUGGGCAAAAGUUUUGUCAUUCAAGGAAAGUGAACGAGGAAACACAAGUUUACUUUCAUCGGAACUAAUAUUAUAUAUUGAUAUGACUUCCCAUUAUUACUUACGAUGGAAUAUGCUUCCAUAAAAUGGCCUAGAUGAACAAACUAUCCAAGAAGUUUGGGAUCAAAUAAUAUAUAUAUAGUUCAUGUGUGAUUCUUUGGUUGACAACCUUGUUAAGGGGUGAGUGAAGCACUUUGGGCAUACCACAUACUACAUGCUAGACUUCCACCCAAGCUACCCUAUAUUCCUUAUGAACAAAGUAGAAGUUGUCAUCUCUCUUGAAUACCAAAUCCUUUCACCUAAUAAUGCUAUCUAAAAAGGUCUUAAAAAGGAUAAAAAUGCGCAUAUUUGAAUUUUUGAAUUAGGAGUGCUACUUAAAAAGAAGCUAGAUAUACAAUAAUAGAAUGUUAUCAAGCAUAUCUCUUCAAAGUUUUUGACCAAAAAAUAUAUGAUUUCUCAUUUUAGGUAGGAGACUUAGUACUCACUAUUCAAAAACCAAUUAUCAUUACUCAUAAAAACUAAUAGAAAGUUUGGGCCAAAGUAGGAUGGACCUUAUAUUAUGCAACAAUUAUGCCUAUAAAAUUGUUGCAAAAGAGGUUUUAGAAUCAAAUCAAUGAAUGAAAAAUUAUUAAAGCAUUACUAUGCUUGAAGGCUAGUCAUUUUCCCUUAAAGUGCAAUAUUAAGUUGCAUAGUACUAUGUGGAUCCGCAUUUUUCACAUGCGUUCCCACUCAUUGUCGAGACUCACUUUUUAGAAGUGAAAAAUUAGUUUUAUUAAAGUCGAAGUUGCCACUGGGGAUUUGAACCCUAACAAAAGGUUCAAUUUAAGGAUAAAAAUAUCGAUAAUCACAUAUAUAUAUAUUGGUACUUUGAUUUUAUGAAUAUAUUGAAGAAAUAUGGACAAAUAUUUUGACACAAAAUAUGUACAAAAUAAAAAUUAUAUAAAAAGUAAAAAUAAAUAUUUUAAAAUUAUUUUUUUAAAUAUAUAUAUAUAUAAUUUGACAUAUUUGAUAAUAAUAUAUAAGGGUCUCCAAAAAGCCCGUGGCCCGCUUUAGGCCCGGUCCGACCCGACAGGCUAAAGCCCGGCCCAAGCCCGCCGGGCCCAAGCUCGGCCCGAGCCCGUUUAUGGGUGGGCCGGGCCGCGAGCCCGUAGGCCUGCUCCUUUAAAAAAAAACUACAAAAAUAAAAAGUAUUAAAAAAAAUAUUCAUUUCAAAAUUUUAUUCAUUGAAUGUAUAAUUACAUUUGAAAAUGUGGGAAAAGUUUACAUCACUACAAAAUAAAUACAUCCCAACUAGGUUGGCACCUAUUUAUUUGUCAAUCAUCUGUAUUUUUCAACCACAAAAAAUAAAAAUAAAAAUAUAAUAUACAUUUAGUCAUUAUUUUCUGGCGGUGAUGGCGAACUAUCAUGCAUCCAUGAAGAUCUUGAUAAUUUUAAAGAUUCCAUAUCGGUAAGCAUCUUUGUUUCUCGAAUGGAAUCAUACAUCCUUUUAUCUGCUAUUUCCCAAUCUUUCACACAUAUCCCUGCUUUAAUAACAUCUGACGCUAAGUUGCAUCGUUUUUUACUAACUACUCUUCCACCUGCACUAAAAGCAGCUUCUGAUGCAACUGUACUCACAGGAACUGUUAGUACAUCACGAGCAAUUAUAGAAAGCACAGGAUAUUUGUGUUGAUGUGAUUUCCACCAUAUUAAAAUAUUAAAAUCUUCUUGAUCUUCAAAUGAAAUUAUAUCAGUAUUAAGAUAUUUAUCUAAAUCAGAUGUAUUAUUUGGAGAAUUAUUUGUUGUCUUUUUUCGACUUUUCAACAUUUCUAGAGCUCCUUUAUAAAAAGAUGAGGAGUUUGUAGAUGUAGGUGGUAAUUUAAUAGUAUUAAUAUCAUUACCAUAUUUUUCUUUAUAAUAGUUAUAUAAAUUAUAUAAUAAUGAAUUUAUUUCAUUUUUAAUUUCUUCAAUUUUUAUUUGGUCAUUAAAAUAAAUAAUUGUUAACCAUUCAUCCAAAGCUUCAAAUUUCAAUCUAGGGUCCACAAUUAAAGCAAUAUAAAAAAUUAAAGGUAUUUCUCCCCAAUAUUUUCUAAAUUUUUAUAUCAUUACAAAUAUUGUAUCAUUAAAUAUUUCAAAACUUAAAUAUUUUUGAAGUACAAUAAAAAUAUUAGUUAUUUGCGUAAUAACUCGAUUUGAAGUUGGAUAAUAUACACCACAAAAAAUGUUUGUUGAAGUAUCAAAAAUUUCAAAAAGAUCUCUUAAAACAUCCGCAAUAUGCCAAUCAUAAUCAUUUAAUGCAUAAAUAUCUGCUUCAUAAUCAUUGUUAAUUAAUUGUAUUUCAUAUAAUUCGACUACUUUUCUAUAUUUUGUAAUAUUUUCUAAAAGUUUAUAUGUGGAAUUCCAUCUAAUAGCCAUAUCCAAAUUUAUAUUUUUUCUUUUCAUAUUUAACAUUUUGCAACAAUCAAAAAAUAAUUCAUGUUUUGCUUGAAAACUAUUAAUACUAUAUGCAAUGCCUCUAAUUUUUUUCCAAUGUACUAUCAACAUUUUUUAAUCCAUCCUUUACAAUUAAAUUUAAAAUAUGUGCACAACAACGCACAUGAAAUAUUUUAGCAUGAUCUUCUUUUACUUGCCAAUAUCGUUUUAGUCUAUGUAUUGCUGCAUCAUUAUUAGCAGCAUUAUCUAAUGUUAUUGUCAAUAUUUUAUCACGAAUGCCUAAAUCUAUAAUUUCAUCAUUUAUUAAAGAUGCUAUAUUUUUACCACUAUGUGGAGUAUUUAUUAAUUUAAAUAAAAUUAUUCUUUUAUUUAAUUUCCAUUCAUUAUCAAUGUAGUGAACAAUUAUAUAUAAAAAACCAGUAUGAGUUAAAGAUGUCCAAAUGUCAGAUGUUAAACGAAUAUUUCCUUCAAAAUUUGCAAAAUUUUUUUUUAAAAUUUCUUUUUGUGUAUAAAUUUUUUUCAUAAUAUCUCUUUUAACUGUAUUUCCAGAUCAACCUUUAAAUUGAGGAUUAAUACCUCGUUGAAUUGUUCUUGCAAAAUCAUGAGUUUCCAUCAUGUUGAAAGGUUGUUCUGCUCUUAUUAUAUAAUCAAUCAUUUCUUCACAACAGUUAGAUUCAUCAUAAGAAAAUGUUUUUAAAUUUCCACUUUCAUUUUUACUUAAUUGCAUAUAAUUUCUAAUAUCUACAUUAUUUUUAGUUUUACAAUUUUCAUGAUGUCUUUUUAAAUGACUUGUAUCUGCAUUUGAGCCACCAGUAAGAAAUUUAUUACAAAUUUUACAUUUUGCUUUUAUUUUUUUUUUAUUAUUUUCUAAAAUUAUUUCUAUUCUAUCAAAAAAAUUCCAUAUAUUUAAAGUAAAUUUUUUGUUUGAUGAUAUUUCAUCACAUGGACUAGACGAAGAAGCACUUGUCAUAUUAUAAUUAUUGAUAAAAUAUUAUGCCAAAAAUAAUAAAGUAAUAAAUAUAAAAAAAAAUGUAACAAAAAAAAUAAAGUAGUAGGGGUGAAGUAUGUUACUCAAUUAGAGAACCUAUGCAGAAAUUCCUAGCAAAUUUGAACUCUUGGAGCCACCAAUGCUUGUUUUGCACCAUCAACAAUAUUGUAUAAUUUGAGGGAAAAAUAAAAGAAUUUAAAAUAUUGUAGAAUGUGAGAGAAAUAGAGAGAAUUUGAUGAAAAAAUGAAAAGGAAGAAAAUGUAUUUAUAGGAAGGUUAAAAAUAAUAAUAAUAAUAAUAAUAAUAAUAAUAAUAAUAAUAAUAAUAAUAAUAAUAAUAAUAAUUGGCCAUGUGACCGUUGGAGGCUUAGCUCCAACGGUCACAUGGGCUGGAGCUAGGCUCCAACAGUCACAUGACCGUUGGAGCCUUUAAUUUUUUUUUUUAAAAUAAUAUACUUUAUUUUUAUAUAUAUAUAACUAACUCAAUUAAUAAACAUAAAAAGAAUAUAGUUCAGUUGGUUAGAACCUUGAAGUUUAAACAUGAGGGGAGGGGUUUGAAUCCCUCCCUCUCCCUUAGGGGCUUUUUUAAAAGCCAUUUUGGCUUAUUUCAAAAAGCCUGUCGGCCCGACCCGCCCUGCAGCCCGCGGGCCUAGCAUUUUAGCAUGGCCUGGUCUGUUGACUAGUCAAAUGGCUCAUAGGCUCGGCCCGAACUGGGCCGCGGGCCUCUUAUUUACGGACCGGCCCGACCCGGCCCGCCCGUUGGAGACCCUUGAUAAUAUCUUCUAUAUUAAGUUACAUUAUAGUUUAUUUUACAAUAUUAUUAUGAUAAUAUGUCUAAUUUUAAAAUAUAUUUAAUAUUAAAAUUAUGAUCUAUUUUAAUUUAAAUGUAUUCAAUGAUAUCAAAUAAAUAAUAAUAUAUGUAUAAUUCUUUUAUUAUUUAUAUUUAUUAUUUUUAAUAAAUAUAUAGAUUAUAUAAAAAAGACCGGAUAUAUCUUUUCAAAUUUUGUAUCGCUCUCCAAGGAUAUUAGAUGUAUGGGAAUUUGUAUUGCUAUCUACGGAUACGUUGAUAUAUGGGUGAUUUAUCAGGAUAAUUAGAAAUUCUAAUUAUGUAAGCAGGUACGGAGUUCUGUGUCGGUGCGAUCUUGUCGACAACAGCUCCAAAUUGUGCAUCUUGCUCAUAGAGAGUAGCGGAAUGCACCAAUCGUAGGCUCAGAGUACCACUGAGUCGUCUGGCAGAGACCCAACUGAAGGUGCCUGUGUUGUUCCUGAUCUGAUCAGGCUUCAAACUACAAGGUGGAAUACUGGUUCCCCUAUAUCAGAAGCUGGAGAUACCCACCCCAUAUGCUCGUCUGGAUGUGCUCCUACCCUUUGAAGCCUUCUUCCGAGUCAAGUCCGAAUUGAUAAGGCUAGUGAGUUCCCAACCAACUGUACUCAGCAUGCUGCCAGGUGGAGACCCUCCAUAUUUGAUGGCUUCCUAAUAUUAAAAUGCUGACCACUGGUCUUCAUGUUCCACAGGCUUAAUUGUGUCCUUUGCUGAAAGAAUGGAUAGUGAUCCAUUUUAACACAUGAUUCACGCCGUCUUUGCCAUUCUUCAUGGUCUAGCCCUUUUAUAUAUAUGCUUCCUGAACUGUUGCUAUUAAUAAAAUGUGGUAUCUAUCCCGUACACCUUCCUGAUGGCCAGCGAAUGCAGAAGCUACAGAAACGGUUCCAUCUUUUGCUUCCGCCACUUUGGCAUCCUCCAUGAUGAGAUCGAAGGUGAAUAAUCAUAUUCUGGGGAUUUAUGUCCUGGAUAUUCUCAGUAAUGCCCAAUUUCCUGGUGCCGGCCUCAUUUCCAUGGGAACUGAUGGAUAACUUAAGGCUUCUACCAUCUGCGUGGUUCGCUUCUAACACAGGAAACUUCACGGCUAAAAGCAAGAUACCAAGAACAUCAAGGCUGUGACAAAAAUUAGUAUUUUUAACUUGUAGGAAUUUGAAAGGCAACCAACCAUCUAGCUCUGUUCUUAAAGCUCCCAUAGGAGGAUCAGAGGCUGGAUUGCUCAAGAUGAACUCAUCCAUUGUUGCACUUAAAAAGAAUUGGCAUGAAUUGUGGCCGCUCUAAUAGGUUCCCUAAACCAUCAUCCAAGUGGGCUUGCGGAAGGUAGCGAGUUUAAAACACCUAGGGCGAUGAACAGUGGACUGUGAUGCUCACAAAAGAGAAAAGGAAGAAUUCAAUAAUUCCUAAGAAUCCAUUUGCCUGUCAUCCAAAUUUUUAUAUUCUCUUCAGUCUGACGCGUUAUGCCAUAUAUUAAAAAUAGCGGCUUCUUCCAAGCCGAGACAGACUGUGCAAAGUUCGCAAGGCCAAUCAUCACCAUAAUCUGAAGUUGGCCUCCUCAAUCGCAGCUUGUAUCCGAAUGCUCACUUCACGGGAUGGAUUGUAAUGAAAACUAAUCUCAGUCCCAGCUAUGGCAGCAUCCUCACUUGACAGCAUUUUCUGCAUAUUCUAGAACAAAGCAAUAAACCCUCAAAGGCUCCUUCGGAUCAGAGUUAGAAGACUGUCCCUCAGGAACGUGAACACUAUGGUGGUUCUGAUAAGCAGUGAUAUUGCAUUAGAGCCUUUUGGAACAAGAGGAUCUUUUCAGGUGGAAACUGUAAACUGCUUCAUGUUGGGCUGCAACCUUUUCUUCAAGCAAUACUUUCUUUCUGUAUCACGACUUAUGUUGCUUCCGGAGCCAUCCCGUGUGGACUGCCCUUCAGUGAAAGAAUAUGUGUGUUGACAUGUUGGAUUGUAAUCUUUGUUCCACUCUAAUGGCUUUUGGUCCUCCUCUUUCUCUUUAUGACAGAGAACCAUUUAGUGAUCCAUCUCUAUAUUGUAGCAUUGCUGGUGCUUUGCAAUACUACACUCUCACCAAGCAUAACAUCUAUUUUUCCGUGACCAAAGUAUGUCGGUUUAUGCAUGCGCAAACUCUUAUUCAUUGGCAAGUUGUCAAGCGUAUCUCAUGAUUUCCCAAAGCCACAAGUUCUUAUGGUCUUUCUGUUCAAGCUUACAAUGAUCUAUCUUUUCUUGGUUAUACUGAUGUCGAUUGGGCUAGUUGCCCUGAUAACAAGCACAAUACUAGUGGGUACAACACUUUUCCUGGUCCUAAUCUCAUUUCAUGGGCAUUUUCAAAGCAGAAGGUUGUGUCUCACUCCAAUAACGAAUCUGAAUAUAGGGGACUCACUAAUUAAUGUUGUUGCCAAGGUCACUUGGAUUGAAUCUGUCUUACGUGAGUUGCGUGUUUCUCUACCCCAACCACCAAUUUUGUUGUGUGACAACAUUAGUGCUACACACUUGGACAAACCAUGUUGAAAUACACUAUCAUUUUAUCCAUGAAAGGCUUAUGCAUCACACACUCAAAAUUCAAUACACCUCUUCUAUAGACCAACUAGUCAAUGCUAUGACCAAAGCUCUUCCUUCAUCUCACUUGUACAAUCUUCAGUGCAAGCUGAUUGUUCUUCCCAAACCACUCAACUUGAGGGGAGAUGUUAAGCCAAUUUAAUAAAUUGAUUUCUUUUGGUUAAUUUGUUAGAAUCAUUUUUAUUAGAGGUUUGUUUGUACAAUUACAUCCAUUUAUCAGGAGAGUACACGUGUACAACUCCUCUUUUAAUCUCACCAUUGUAUAUAUAUGAUACACGACCUUACUCAGAAUUGCAUAACAUUUCCUCUGCUCAUUCCUUUUCUUCUUUGAAUUUUCCCUUACCUCACUGAUUUUGAUUUAUACCUGGUGUUUUCACCUUUGGUCUCUACCUUUCUAGCCAGUUUUCUAAUUAAUCCGUAUAUGGUAUACCUGUCAACUAAUGAGGAGAAAGAGAAAAGGGGAUUGCUGUUCCACCAGCUACAUAUAAUAAUUAAUUACAAUCAUGGUAAUGGAUCCUGAAAUCCAUCCUUUGUGGAUUUUGUACGGAAUAUUGUUGUUAUGUAUGUGGGCUCACUUAGAUGUAUAUUGCUAGCCUGUCUGGGAAAUGUGAUUGCAGGUCCAGAUUAUGAUGUUGAUAUUAGUGGGAUAAGCAAGAGAUGCAGUUAACACGUAUGUGAUGGACUUGAGUAACUUUUCCAUUUCAGUCCAUUUUUUAAGAUUAUGCUUAGUCUUAUUACAAGGAAAGACCAUAAGAAUCAUGAGUCAUUGGCAAGGUAAUAUCAUUCCCUCUUUACAGGCUUCUUCACCUUUUGGUUUUUUUAAUAUCCAUCAAGAUCUUUUAAUUGGAGGACAAUUACAAGUAUAUAUAUAUGUAUUAAAAGGGGAAAAUAUUAAAACAGGAAAUUUUAGGGAAAAUAUAAUAAUUAUUUCUUCCUUCUUUCCCAUAUAGAACUACACAAAAUAAAACUUUAAUAAUUUUUUCUUAUCUUUUUUAUUAUUAUUUUUUCUUAGAAACAUCCGUGGUCUCACAAGCUUGUAAUCCUAGAUUGUUAGGCUCCUUUAACAGUGCCCCAACAUCGUGGUCCAAUGACAAGCUUCCACGCCUUAAAAUCAGAAAAUGCCAUUAAACUUUAUCAGACAUUACAGUUCAAGACAAAGCUUUCAUUUGCUUAAUGUGAUAAUGAAAUUGUUAAUUUCAUUUCGUGGGCAUCUAAAUUUGGACGAGCAAGACCUCUGAAUUCCCUGUUUUUAUCACCAGCAGAGGAGAUAAAAUCUUAAUGGUGAGAAUCUCCACGUGAAAUUUAUGUGUACUGUCAACAUAUUUUUGUUUAUAUAGUCCAGUAGCUGCAGGAAGUCUAGAUUAUAUAGGUAGCAGUAGCACUAUUUAUAGCACUCGAUAUUCGCUGUAUGAAUACAUUAAACCUUGUUUUCAAUACGCAUCACAAGCAAGUACUAGAUACUACAAGGAGUGACAGUCGCAUCAACAUUUCUUGAUAAUAGCAGUGACUGAUUUAUACACAGAACAGUACUGUACACGUACCAGUCACCAGAGAUAGGAUCUUAUUCCUACAUACGACUCUUAUUGAUCGAAGUCACUCAGUUGGGGUAGCCUGGAGUUGGAGGUUUGUGUGGUGGCUUCUUCUUUGGAGGAGGCUUUAUCUUUGGAGGCAUCAUCUUUGGAGGCAUCUUGUGUGAGUCUUCUUCAGCAUUCUCUACAGGAGGAUGGCCAGGCUUAUGACCCUUAGGUGGUUUGCCAACUGGGAUUGGUGGCUUGUGUCCUGAGAGUGGCUCCUCUUCUUCGGGAGGUUUGCCAACUGACGUUGGUGGCCCGUGUCCUGGGGGUGGCUUGUGUUUUGGGGGUGGUUUCACUCCACCGGGAGGUUUACCAAUUGGUGUUGGUGGUUUGUGCUCAAUCGGUGGCCUCUCAACUGGGGGGCGCUUGGGGUAAUCAGCGAGUGAAGAAGUGGUGAGAACCACCACUCCAAGCAACAACACUAGCAAGUAUGUGGAAGACAUCUUUGAGUUUGGCUCAGAUGGUGUAGAACUAGAAUCCUGGGUGGCCUUUUAUAUUAGUUGGGCCCUAUGCCCGAACGACAAGUGUCAUGGUGACACAUAAAGUGAUGGGGUCGAUUUGGGCCUACCGGAUUUGAAAACUUGGACAAUUCGAGAAGCGUCUCCUGACUCCGGGUUGUAAAGUGAAAGAUUAGGUAUCGACCAUUGAAGUAUGAUCACAACUUUUGGCCUUUGGCUCUCUCUACUGCCGUAUAGCUUUUUUCCUUUGGAUAUUUUUCUUAGCUAGACACAAUUAUUGAGCAGUCUAAUCUCGAAAUGGGAUUAGUAUAGCUUUAAGCAAAUUUAUUAUAGUUAGUGGAGGACUUUUAAGAGUGCAGACGACAUUUAACACAUGCAUGCAGUAGUAUAGGGGACAUAACACUAUUCUUUUUCCAAAGAUUCACAUGAUUUUUAUAUUAUAGUAUUGGCACAUUGUAUGUAGCUGGUUUUGUGGUUAAAAUUCCAUAUGUAGACACUGGCGUUUCUCCAUUUCUCACAAUUGAUGUUUACCUCCACGAUUACUAGAUUAGAUAUACCAAACAAUAACACAUUGUAUAAUCUAUCCGCCCUUCAAAAUCUACUGUAUGAUGAAAUGUUUCAUGUGUGUGUGAAGUGUUAGAAAUGCACUAUAGGCAACAUCAUCUUCUUUUGUCUAGGCUUGGGCCUCAAAUUAUACUCCCAUGCCAUGAUAAAUUUUCAUGUGCAUUCUCUAAAGAAGAGUGUCUUGAAUGUGCCAAAUCAUUUUGAUUGAUUUUAUGAUGUUAAUUGCUCCGCAUAUGGAUGGGUAUGUGCUUUAUUUGCUUAUUCAAUCCACAAUUACCUUGAACUGAAGUCCUAUUGGAGCUCUAUUAUUUUAGCAACGUCCUGUCAAAUAGGCUGCUAACUUGGGGUGGUAUGGACCCAAUGAUCCAUCUUAAUCUUGGGUUGAUUUUGUCUGACUCUAUCUAUCUCAGAGAGAACCAGGAUCACCAGUGCUGGUCUGCUUAAAGAAGACUCAGUACUGGAUUAAUAUUGGUUUGGGUCAAUAGCUUAUAAUGCAUUGAAUGCAGAAUAAACAAGAUCAAUGAAACCCAAAACACACUGCCCACACAACUUCACUCUGGUGUCUGUUAUUCAUCAAUUCUAUUCCCACAUGAACUGGUUCAAGUUUAAGAAAAUGACAACGGAUCCACUGUAUUAACUUGGUUUUGCUUGGUUUUGAGCUAGUUGCCAAACCAGCCAUGAGUUUUACCUCUAAUGUCAAUGAACAAACCCCAAAUGAACAACUGCAACAGCUUAAAGAGAAGGAAUGGAGAUGAAAAUCCCUGUUUCUUCUCAUUCUGGGGACAAAUUAGAACAUAACUACAAAGGUUCUAUUAAUUGACUUACUCUACCAUGAAUUAUGGUUCUUUGGUUUUCCAAAUUUAAAUUGUACAUGAGAUUAUUUUUUUCCUUUAUAUAUAAACAUAUUAAGGUUUUCUUAUUUCGUGGGCAAAUGCGCUAAGGAUGAAAGUCAUUUCAUUUGGCUGCAACAGCAUCUUAUAAUCAACAUGCAUAAGCAGCAGUUUUAAUUGAUCGAUUGAACACCGACUCACAAGAAUAGAUAGAAUGGUACAAGACAGCUCUUAUUAAUUUAUACUCGUUACUCAUUUUAUGUAGCCCCAUUAAGAUGGCUGGCUGGACCACCGAGGUCUGGGGGUGGUGUUGCUUGUGUGAUGCAGCGGGCCGGGCAGACACUUCUCUAGUUGCUUCUAUUUGGAGUUAGAGGAUCAGUCUCUGCCAACCUUGAGGACUCUCUACCUCAGAGGGUCCAGGUGGUGGACUCUGGUGUCGGUAGCUUUGAACUCUCAGUAGACUAGUGUGUCUUAAUCAGUCACUGCCAGAGGCUGGCGUAGGCAGUGACGAUAAGGUGAGACAAAUUACCGAAUAGUCAAUAUCGACUGCACUUGACCAUUAUAGAUUUGUUCUGACAAAAGUGAGAAAAGGGAGAAAAUCGGAUGUUGACCUUUAUAGAAAAAGAUAAGAUUUACUGCAACACAGAGCACUGAUUUGUUACUUGGAAACCAAGUUAUGCUAUUAGCUAGCCUCCAUUAGCAGCAGGGUACCUUGCUGCCUGAUCCUAAUCUGAGUUCCCAAGGUUUCAAUCUUCGUUUGUUAACGCUUCAGGAUUUGGAUAUUUCAGCUUCGUUUCUCCAUUUAGCCAACGCUGCCUGGUUUGGAUUUCAAUCCUCAUCUGGAACAUUCUUUUUUCGGUCUGAUUCAGGAAGUGUUUGGUGAUAGUUGAUUAAAAUUAAACAGUACUAUCAUACAAAUAAAGCUGAUCUAAUUUUGGUGGGCAAUAUACCAACUCAUUUAUUCUUGAAAACACCAUGGGGAAUUGGAGGUCCAUCCGAAGUACUAUUUGAUGGGACUCACAAAAAGAACAGGUGCACAUUUAUGAGAUCCGUGGAAGAGAUAACUAUGACAGCUAUGCAUGUACAACAGAUUUAUGUCGAGUUCACCUCGUAGAUAUUUUGUUUUCAGUGUCGGUGGACCCCAAAAUGGAAAUCGGAAAUUAAGGUUAUAUUUAUUUUUUUAUUUAAUUUUAAAUAGAAUUUUAAUUUUUAAUAAUAUUAAGUAUUAAAUUAUUUUUUUAAGGGUAUUUUAUUUUUAUUAAGUAUUAAAAAGUAAAAAAAAUUAAUAUGUUGCUUUUUUAUUUUAAAAAAAUUAUAUAUUUUAAUUUUUUCUAUUUACUAAAAAGUUUAUAAUAAAUUAUAAAAAAAUAAAAAAAUAAAAAACUUAAAUUCUGAAAAUAAAUUAUUUUUAAUAAAAAAAUCCAAAAAAGCAAACACCACCUAAAUUUGAGAUGACUCAAAAUUUUAUAUUUUUUUUCACCUAAAUUAUAUUCAUAAAUUUAAAAUUAAAAAAUUAGGAAGUUGAAUUUUAUUUUGGAUAAUUGGAAACUACAAGAAAUCAAUAAAAAUAUUUGGAAAAAAAAGAAAAAGAAAAACUAUCUAUAUAUUCACCCCCUUCUAAGAAACAUAACUUUAGUUUUUAACUAUUUUUUAAAAUAAUUUUUGAAAAAUGUUAUAUAAUAUUUUAUAAAACAAAAAAUCUGUUUGACAAUUUGAUAUGUCUUUAACUUAUUUUUAAUAUUUAUAUAUAUAUAUUUUAAAAAUAAUUUUAUAUUUAGAACUUUAUCUUUAAUUAUUAUAUAUAUUUAUAUAAUUAUUUUUUUUAAAACAACUCUUAAAAAAUAAGUGAAAGUAAUUGAAAACAACUCAAAGAUAUUUGAUGAAAACACUCUAAUUUGUAUUUUUGAGAAUAAAAAAAUAAAUAAAUAAAUUUCUAGUUAUCAAAUGUAUUUUUUAAUUCUUUUAUUCUAAAAAAUAGAAAAUCGUUUUUGAAAAUAAUUAUUAAACAACAUUCUUAAAAAUUCACUCGUUACAAUCUAGAUUUAAUGCAAGAAUGAUUGAAGGAGUCCUCCAAUAGAACCCAAAGUUAUAAACAUGAACAAGAAGCCCUAGAAACACCAAAGAUCUCAUAUGGUAUAUAUAUGAGCUUGAUUGAGAACUGUUUUAAAUUCAGUUUUUUUUUUUUUUUUUUUUUUUUGUUUUCAAAGUCAAAACAAGUUUACUUUUAAUUUUUACUUCUUUUUUUUAAUUUUAUAAAUAACAGUUUUUUAAUAAUUUAUUUUGAAAACAUGAUUAUUUUUAAAACUUAUAAUGAAAAUAGGAAUUUUUUUUUUAAUAUCAUGGUUAUUUUCCCUUCUUUUAAGGAGGGCUAUUUUAAAAAUAAAUUUACAAAUAUGAAAAAUGAUUCAAACUAAAGCAGUACAAAUAAAAAACAUUUUUAAGAAAUAUUUAAAAAUAGAGAAAAUUAUUUGAGAACAUUUGAAGUCCUUAAAUAGACUUUUGUUUUAGAAAAGGCAAGAUAAUUAUUUUUGAAAAUUGUUUUCAUAAUGAUAUGCAAAAACCUACGUAAAAACCAUAAUUAUAAUCGGCCACAUAUCAAAUCUACUAAAUAUGAAAAGUAAGUACAUAAUUAUAUUUGACUUAGAUGCAAGGAGGAAAAUGUCGCGAUAUUAUCGCCGAAAUAUCGUGUGUCGAAGGGUAUCGACACGAUUUUUCUUGCAGAAAUAUCGGCCAGUCGAUUUUUCGGGAUAAAUCUCGAGAAAUCGGCAAUUUAUCGCGAUAUAUCGGCGAUUUUUCCUCGAUAUAUCUUCUGGUCAACGCGGGUCAACGGAGUCAACACGCUACAGUGAAAGUCAAAUGUGCUACAAUGUCCCCGCUACAAUCACCUCCCCAAACAAAUUGCCAAAUUGCUUCCGAGGGGAUUUGAACCAGCCUUCUUGCCAUUUGGGCUAACUCGCCCUUAUGAUAUAUAUUGCAUUAAACAUAUAUAUACUUAAAGUCCUUAUAUAAAGAAAAUGUUAAAAAAAUAUUUUAAAGAGCAAAUUAAUUAUAAUUAUUUUAUAAUUAAAAGCAAAAUUUUCUUUUAAUUAAUUACCAAAAAUAUAAAAAUUAUAUAAUUUUCUUCAUAAUGUUUUUAAUAUCAUUAAUAAUUAAUUAAAUAUUAAAAAAUUAUAUAUAUAUAUAUAUAUAUAUAUAUAUAUAUUAUAAUUUAUUUUAUAUUGUUUAAUACAAUUGAAUUAAAUGGAUCAUAUUUUAAUAUUAAUAUAUAUUUUAAAAUUAGACAUAUUGUAAUCAAAUAUCAUAAUAUUAUAUGUAAUUUAAUAAUAAAUGUACACUUAUAAAAUUCAUAUUUUUAUCGAUGCAUACAAUAUUAUUAUCAAAUAUGAUAAAUCAUGUUAUACAUAUAUCAAAAUUUUCAAUAAAAUAACUUUAAAAUGUCUAUUAUACUUCUAAUUAUAUUAUUAUGAGGUUUUCUUUACAUUUUCAUGAGUUUUAAACAAUUUUAAGCACCAAUAUUUUUUUCCAAAAUAUCCACCGAUAUAUCUCCGAUAUAUCCAAUAUAUCUCCGAUAUCUCCGAUAUAUCCGUAAAAUCGAAGUACCGAUAUAUCCGUGAUUACCGAUAUUUUCAUCAUUGCUUAGAUGCAACCUUCUUCCAAAUGACAUACUUUAGUCAAUACUUAUAUUUUUUCGUUUCACUUCUUUGAUACAACACCUCAUGGAUUUAUUGUUUAAUUUAUUUGUAAUUAUAAAACUAUUUUUCAUUUUUAAUAAGACUUGAAUUAAUUUAAUAAAUAUUAUAUAAUUUGAAUUUAUAAUUCUUUUUAUAAAAUCAAAGUAUAUUAAAAAAAAAACAAUUUAUCCGAAGAAAGUUUUUUAUUUUUUAUUUUUUAAAACCGAUUUUAAAAAUAACUAGCUAGACACCCUUAUUUUGAUAAAAUACGAAAUAAAAGUGUAAAAACAACAUGGCCAAAUAGGGGCUUAAAUUUUAUUUUUAAAACAUUUUUUUACACUAAAGUGCAUUUUAAAAACACCAUCAAAACCAACUACAAGUUAUGCUUCUUCCCGUAAUAGAAAUAUUUUAGGCCAAAAUAGAACCUCCCCAAAUAAAGACCCUAUACUAAACUCCUUUUCAUUUUAUUAAUACAAAAGUGGGGAAAAAAGGUCUAUGCUCACCUAAAAAACAUGAAUAUUGUGAAUUCACCAUUUCUAUAAGGAAGUUGAAAACUUCAAAAUUUUAUCAACAAAUUCUCUAAAAUCCUCAAAAUAUAUAGGGCCUGUUUCACAAAGUUUUUUAAAAUUUGUUUUUAUAAAUUGCUUUUAAAAUAUAGAAUAAAUAACAGUUUUUUAGAUUUUUUGAAAAAUAAGAGUGUUUGGUAAGAUGUUUUUUUUUUUUUUUUUUUUUUUAAGAAUUAAAUAAAAAAUAAAAAAAUUGUUUAGAUAAAAGAAUUUGUAUUGUUUUUAAAAACAAUGUCUUACUUUUAUGUUAUAAAAAUUUUAUUAAUUUAAUUUAUAAUAAUAUGAAAUGAAAUUCAAGUUAAGUCUUAUUAAAAAAUACAAAUUAAAUCUAUAAUUAUGCAUGAGUUAAAGAUAAAUAUAUAUUUUUUAAAACUAUAAAAUAAAUUUUCUAUUAUAGUGAAACAAAAAUUACUAUAAAAUAAAAAUAAUUUUAAUAUUCAUUUUUAAUACAAGUCAAAUAAGUACUUUAAUUAAUUUUUUUUAUCAUGAUUUCUUAUGUUUUUUUUUUUUUCUAGAAAUUAUUUUAAGUAAUAUAACUAAUUUUUUUUUUAAUGUUUUAUAAAAAUAAGGAUAUUUGGCAAGUUGUUUUUAUAAAAGGAUUUUAAAAAUAAAUGGAUUUUUUUUUUUUUUAAAAAAAGAACAAAAUGAUUUGUUUGAAUAAAUUGUUUUGAUUUUGUAAAAACAUUUUAAAUUCAAUUUAUAUAAUAUUAAUUAAUUAAAUUAAAUUGAAGUUUUAUUGAAAAUAAAAAUAAUUUUGUAAUUAAAAUUAGAUUAAAAAAUAUAUAGGUUUUAAUAAAUCGUAAAUAGUAAUAUUAUAAUAAAAUUAUAAAUUAUAUUUUUAACAUAAAAUAUACUAUUUAUUACAUAUUAAAAAAAAUAUUUUAUUAUAUUAAUAAUUUUAUGGUAUUAAUGAGUUUAUUAUUUAAGUUUUAAAUUAUUUUUAAAAAUUAAUAAAUUUGUUAACAAAUGCAAUGUACUAAAUGUGGUUUAAUUUGGAGUUAAUUUGUUUAGGGAAAAAAAUAAAAAAUAAAAAUCUUAUGUAAAAGAGAAAUAAUAGAGUGUGUGUGUUUUUUUUUAUUAUUUUUAAAAAUCAGUAAAAAGAACUUUUACUUAUUGCCUAAAAAUUAUUCUCUAUUUUAUUUUAUUUUUUAAAUCUAGAAAUAGAUAACAAUAAUAAAAAAAAUUAAAAAAGAAAAAUGUUUUUUAAAACUCAGACUUAUAAUUGCUUUUGUUUCUCAUUCGCACCCCUGGAUUCCUGGAUUCUAAACACAAAAUUAAGUUGAAUCGUCCAUCUAUCUUGUAAGCCAAGAAUUCACAUAGAAGAAAUAAUCGGAAUUUGAUUUGAUAUCAGAUUUAGAGUGGCUCACUACUCAUGCAUUGUCCCACAAUAGUAAUGCUUUGGGCCGAGAUAAACCCAUUUGUGGGCCCAAAUAAAACCCCUGGUUUGAAAACAUCGAUUUUACAGUGGCCCAAAAGAUUAUCUAUGAGGGGAAGAUAACUUGGAAGUCAAGCAAACACAUUUAUCGCUAACUUUUCUCUAAUUAUAAAAUUAUAACUUGGUCUUCUACACGUCUCACUUAAGAGGCGGAGCCACUUGGCACUACCUUUCCAUAUUGUAAAAGGAGAAGAAGCAGAAGGAGAAGAUUCUUAUGCCAUUCCACACACCAUGGCUAGUACUGCUAUGCUGCUUGGCCCGCCGGCUCUCCGCCAUCCUAAUUCUCCCGCCGGCACUGUCUUUGAAGAUGGGGUCAUUCUAACGGAUUCCCUGAUCGUCCGCACCAGUAAUCUGGAGCUUUCUGAAAAACCGCCACUGGAAUCCCUGGCGUAGUGCUCUGUCAGUGGGGAUAUUGCUAUGGAUUGUUUGGAUUCCCAAGCCCACAAUCUUCAUCUUCCCGGGAAACCGCCGAUGGGCUUAACGGAAAACAAGUCUCCGACCUUUUUGUCUUCCGGGAACCCGUGCUUGGACUUCUUCUUCCAUGUGGUUCCCGAUACGUCGUCUGAUGAUCUGAUCCGACGGUUUGAGUUGGCUUGGGAAUUCAAUCCGCUGACGACGUUAAAACUGAUAUGCAACUUGAGAGAGGUGAGAGGCACCGGAAAAUCUGACAAAGAGGGUUUCUACACGGCGGUUCUCUGGCUCCACGACCACCAUCCCAAAACCCUAGCCUGCAAUGCUAGGGUGUUGGCCAGCUUCGGUUAUUUCAAGGAUUUUCUCGAGAUUCUCUACCGGCUUCUGGAGGGCCCUAAAAUUCGAAGAAUCGAAAAGAAAGACUGGCUGGAUCGAAAAGGAAGGAAGAAAAAUUCCCGGAAAAGGAACUCAAUAUUCAAGCGAGAAAAUAGGCCUGGAGUUGAAUUUCCUGUAGAAGAGAAGGAUGUGGAGUAUAUGGUGGAAGAAUUUGUGGAUAAAGAAAAGGCUAGGGUACUGAGAAAGGAGAGAGAACUUGCUCUUGCCAAAAGAGCCCUGCACAAGUAUUCUACUGAUUCUAAUUAUCAGUUCUUACAUGAUCAGAUUUCAGAUUUAUUUGCUGAACUUCUGAAAUCUGAUAUUCAGUAUUUAAACUCCGGUGAGCUUUACAAGAUUAGUCUCGCAUCCAAAUGGUGUCCCACAAUUGAUUCUUCUUAUGAUAAAUCCACCUUGAUAUGUGAAAAUAUUGCUCGAAAGGUUUAUUCUCGCGAGGAAUAUAUAUCCAGAAUACCAAGGAAUUGAGGAGGCUCACUAUGUUAAUAGAGUCAGGGAUAGGUUGAGAAAACAAGUACUUGUUCCAUUACGUAAGGCCCUGGAGUUGCCAGAGGUUUUCAUGUGUUCGAACCAGUGGGGAUCACUUCCCUACAACCGUGUGGCUUCAGUGGCCAUGAAAUCAUACAAGAGCCUCUUCUCAAAACAUGAUACAGAGCGGUUUGGUGUGUAUCUUGAGAAAGUGCAAACUGGGAAGGCUAAGAUUGCAGCUGGUGCAUUACUUCCCCAUGAGAUUAUAGCUUCAUUGAAUGAGGAGGAUGGCGAGAAAGUUGCAGAGCUUCAGUGGGCGAGAAUGGUGGAAGAUUUAUCAAAGAAUGGGAGGCUCACAAAUUGCAGUGCGGUAUGUGACGUAUCAGGAAGUAUGAGUGGAACUCCAAUGAAGGUGUGUGUGGCUCUGGGGCUGUUAGUUUCAGAGCUCAGUGAAGAUCCAUGGAAAGGUAAUGUAAUUACUUUCAGUGCAAGUCCUGAGCUUCACAAGAUCCAAGGAGACAGCCUUGUAUCCAAGACUGAAUUUGUGAGGAUGAUGGAAUGGGGUGCGAACACUGAUUUUCAGAAAGUUUUUGACAGAAUCUUACAAGUAGCAGUGGAGGGAAAUCUGAGUGAAGAUCAAAUGAUAAAGAGGGUUUUCGUUUUCACUGAUAUGGAGUUUGAUGAAGCUUGUGGGAGGUAUAACUAUUGUGAAUAUGACUAUGAUAUGGAGGAAAUUGAUGAGAGUCAGAAGGCAUCUCAGAAGUGGGAGACAGAUUAUGAAGUGAUACAGCGGAAAUUCCAGGACAAAGGAUAUGGAAAAGUUCCGGAGAUAGUGUUUUGGAACCUUAGAAACUCAUCAGAGACUCCAGUGAUGGCCACAGAGAACGGGGUGGCCUUAGUAAGCGGGUUUUCGAAGAAUCUGUUAGACCUUGUUUUUGGAAGGAGGUGGAAUUCUGACCCCUCAGGAUGUGAUGGAAUUAGCCAUCUCUGGUGAAGAUUACAAGAAACUUGUUCUAUUUGAUUAAGAUAUCAAGAGAUUUAUCAAUAAUAAUAUGUUUUUUUUUUUCUAUGUGAAAUACAUGUAAUAUUAACUAUGGAGUUAUCAAAGUUCUGGAAAUUUAAUUAUUUCUUCUUUUCAAGUUUUGUUUGUCUUUGUUAGGAAUUCCCCUUGGGCGGACCCAGCUGGGGACUUGGAUUGAGGAAGUAAGGAGGCGAAAUUGUGUUCUUCUAUGGACAGAGAAAAAAGAUAAAAAUAAAAAAUAAAAAAGGAGGUUAUUUGCAUUUGGAUGUCAUGUGGUUUCAGGGUACAACUACAAGUUCGAAAUUGUACAUAAUGUGAAAAUUCCUGUGUGGAGAACAGCAUAAAUAUGUAUCUCAGUGUGUUUUGUUUGAGCUAAUUGGCAAAUUCGCUUUAAACAUGGUCACAUGGAUGCAUAUUUAUUUGUGAAAUGAUAGUAGUCGAUUACUUGGUCAGUAAGGUUUGUAUCUCUAACUCCAACAUCUUAUUGUAGUCUUUUAAAAUGUCAAAAGUUUAAUGCUAGCUUGAGAAAUUUUGGAAUGGAGACAUUCUAAACAAAGUUAAUAAUCCAUGAGACUUGGUAAAACCGAUCAGAUGAUGCUUACGUACAUGAAUGCCUUCUUUAAGCCGUAUCCUAUUUUCAUUGAAUGAGACGUGCCAUCUAGUUUUGUUCUUGUCUUGAUUGGAUCAUGAUCCCGGGAAUUGAUUACUGUUCUGAAUUUGCGAAUGUUCAAGGUAUUAGAGAAAGUUAAUAUUAUCGUUAAUUUACAUAUUAGUAUUUAUCUAGUUAUUAUAUAUUAGUUUGAAUUAUAAUAUAAUAUAGAAUUUGAAUCAAGUUUACUAUUAGUUUGAAUUACAAUAGGAAAUAAAGUUUGAAUUAUAGUAUAACUCAAAUAUAUUUGUAUAUAAAUAUCCAUCUUUAUCAAUGAGAAUAGUAAACCAUAUUUUUCUCUAUCUUCUUCUUUCUCUAUAUAUAUGGUAUCAAAGCCUCCAAAUCCUAAACCUAGUCUCAACUUAGAGCAAAUUUAGGGUGCAGGGUUUAGGCCCCGCCUCCCCCAACCCUUACCACAAAUGGUAGUGACCUUGUUAUGCCUAUGUAUUGUCAAUGCCUCAUUUUCUAUGGUCUUCAAUACAAUAUCUAGUUUCAAUGUCUCUUUCCUUACUAUCUCCAAUGCAAUAUAUUGAUUUCAAUAUCUCUUUACAACCAAGAGCUCCAAAUUUUCCUGGUUCAAAUCUACCAUAAUUUUUAUUCUCCUUUGCUUUUUACCAAUAUUAGUUCCCCUAAUUUAAUAUAUAUCUCUUUAUUACCUUCAACUCUACCUCUCUCUUUCUUUAAAAGCUUCCUCAAAGAUUUGAUUGCUUUCUUGCAUGUUUUGGGAAAACAAACAUGCUCAUAUUCUAUUACCUCUACUUGAGAUCUGCCUUAUACUCUACCUUCUUCUUUACCUCCUAUAUCAUCUACUACAUUAGCUUCAAAAACAUUAUUUAGUUUGAUGCUAAAUAAGGCUCCUAAUCCUACCCUUCCUUCAACUAACUUUCUUUUACAAGUCCCUCAAAGUUUUUUUUUUUUUUUUUUUGGAAAUUUGGCUUAGAAAGAUUUCAUUACUCUUACCUAAUCUUUCAACCAUCAAGUCGAAUCCACUUAUCUCUUGAAUCCAAGGAGACUACCCUCCACAAAAACAAGGAGAUUGACCCCCACAAUAACAAAGAGAUUGUCCUCCAUAGAAACAAAGAGAGCUUCCUUCAUGGAAGCCGAAUACAUCGCAAUCUAUUUUCUUUCUCUCAAGAUCAAAUCUCCAAUCGGAGCUCCAUCUUGUGGGGAUAUAUUAGAAAAAGUUAAUAUUAUCCUUAAUUUACAUAUUAGUAUUUAUCUAUAUUAUAUAUUGAAUUAGAAUAGAAUAUAGAAUUUGAAUUAAGUUUACUAUUAGUUUAAAUUACAAUAGGAAAUAGAGUUUGAAUUAUAGUAGAACUCAAAUAUAUUUAUAUAUAAAUAUCCAUCAUUAUCAAUGAGAAUAGUAUUCCAUAUUUUUCUCUUUCCCUGAGGCUUCAGAAUGUGAUCUUGAACAUUUGAUCUUUUGGAUUCUUCUUGUUUCGGUGGUUUAAUAUAAUGGAAUGUUUAAUUAUAGCCUACUUUAUCACCAUGGAUGUGCUCCUGCAGAUUUCUUGAGGGUGAUGGUUAUUUUGUCAUGUUUCUUGAAUGGUUUGCAUCAGCUGCCUGAGCUGUUGUUGCUGGUCACUUUUGCAACCAGGGAAAGAAUCAUGGCUUUGGAGAAGCCAGCUUCUGUUUUUGUUGCCCAGCUGUUAGUUCACUAAGAUUGGGGGUCCUAACAUGUAUGUAUAAUCAUAAGCAAGGAAAUUUUAUGUCUUACGCUAGAUAGGUACCAUGAUAUGAUGUUUGAUUGAUUUAUUAACUCUACCUGUUUCAAAAGGCAUCAACAUUAAUUUUACCCUUUUAACACAUUGGAUUGUUUGACCUUACGAGAUUUUCUAUUUCUGUACUAUUUGAACUGCAAUCGUUAUGGUCCUUAGGUCUCUAAACCUUCGUUUAAAAUAAAAGUAAGGAGCACACAUAGUAAAAGUUAAUUUUGGGUAACUUUUAAAACAAAGAGAAAAGUAAAAGUUGUUUUUGAGAAAAACAUAUAGAAAUUGAAAGAUUUUUUAUUUUGAGAAAAAAAAGUCAUAGAAAAGAAAUAAUAUCCCCAUAUAAGUAGAUAUGAUCUAUCCGAAGUGUAGCUACUCUCCUGGAUUUAUUCUAACAUUUUAAAAUUUUUCUCAAUGGGCAAAGGAAUAUCAAAUCAAGCUUGAGUAGGAUUAAUUUCUUAAUUUUUAAAAUAACUUAUAAUUAAAAUUUUUUGGUGUUUUCUUUUUUGGACAAUUUUUUAUGAAGACUCUGAAUCAUGCAAGAGAUAUGGUUAUUUUAAAAAAAAAAAUAAUUUAAAACUCAAAUACAUAAUCAAUGUCACAAAUUUAUAAACAAAAGGUUUUUAAAAAAUACUAUUAUUUCCCCUCUACACAUAAUUUUACUUUUCCGAUUUAUUUAUUUUUGUUGGAAAACAGUCUUCAAAUCAAGUAAAAUUAAUAUGUUAAAUUUGUUAAACAAAUAAAUUUUAAAAUACAAUUUGGAACUCAAAAAUCAAUUCAAGUAAUGCUAAAAUUCAAAAAAUCAAAUUUGGAAUAAAAUGACUUUGUAAAUUUUUUUACUAAACAAAUGAAUUUUAAAUCAAGUGAGAUUUAAUACAUUGGAUUUUUAUGAGAAUAGUAAUUUUAAAAAUUAAUUUGGAACUCAAAAAUAGACACAAUAAAUACCAAAAAUCAAUGAACCAAAAUUGGUUUGGAAUAACUCCAUAAUUUUUUAUUUAUUUAUAUAUUUAUUUUUUUGUGCACACGAAUUUCUUACUAAGCAUAUUGCUUCCAAAUUGAGAAAAAUUUACUAUUUAGAUUUUUUUAAUGAGUUUAAUGGUAUUUAAAAAUAAUUCAAAAAUUCGAAAAUUGACUAAUUUAAUAUUAUAAAUUCAUAAACCAAGACUAAUUCAAAAUGCAUUGGGGGCUAAGGGGGUUGAAAUUAAUGCUCCAUUUGGUUGUGGCCACCAAUUGGCAAUGGCCACCAAUCAACCAAUCAAGGUGGCUAAGGGGGUUGAAAAUAGGGACAAUGGGGUGGGUUUGGGACAGGACACUCAUAUCCCAUUCCCAUCCCAAUUACACAGUUAUUUCCCAUCCUUAUUCCAAACUUGUGUUGGGGCAAGUUGAUUUGUUCCCAUCUUUGUUAACGAAAUGACUAAUAACCUCAUCCUCUCCUUGUCUUAGAUGUACAUUUUCUCAAAUUUGGUCAGGUAUGAUUGAUUCAAGCCCUAACCUUAAUUGGUAAUGAGUGGAUACCACACCUAAUUGCAUUCUUCUUUCGUUGCAAAAUAAUGAGAUUAUAAUAAUCUAGCAAAUAAGAAAAAAUAGUAUGGAAGUUCAAAUUAACACCAUAACUAUCAAUAAUUUUAAGCUUAUAGAUGACUUAAAUGAUUGAAAACUAAUGCAAAAUACUAAAAAAAAAAAAAAUCAUCUAAAGAAUUCACAAGAGAAUAGAACGAACAAAACCAAAUAGGAACAUGGGUCAACAUUAGUUACAGAUUUUGAUCCCUUUCAAGGCCAAUCUUUGAACCAAGACUUCAUCAAAUCUACUACUUCAAAGGCUUUUGUGUUCUUCUUGAGUUGUACUCUGGAACAAAGACUUCGAGGUGAUGCUUUAGAUGAUUGCAUUACACAUAUUUAGGGUAGGGAGAUUGGAGAAGCUUGAAGAUGCCAACGAUGGGUACAAUUGAGUGGUCAAUAAGAACAAUGUGGCCUAUGACUAGUUUGAUGUCAUGGUAUAGGAGUUUUGGGCAUUGAGGUGAAAGCAAGAGCAACAUGGAAUUGAUUUCAAAGUCUUUCAAUUAGUGUAAAGGAGGAAGAAGAAGUGGUAUUGAUCCUAGAAAUAGUGUUUUAGGUGUUGCAUUAGAGGAAAAGAAAAAGAAAAAGAAGGAACCAUUGGAAUUAGUACGAGUGUGAAGAGAGAAGUGUAUACAUAAGGGGAAGUAAAAGCAAAGUUCUAAAAAUUUAUUUUUUUAUUGGUGGUGUAUGGUUGCAUGAUUAUCCCUAUAAAUAAUAGGAGUUUUUUGGUGUUCUACUAGUAGUUGAAGGAUAAUUUCAUAAGAUAAUAUUUAGAGCGGGGUGGGGUGAGUUGUGACAAAAUCCAUACCCGUCCCAAACAUUGGUUCAGGUUUUUAAAAUAUUUUCAAACUUAUCAUAUACCCAAUUUUAUAUUUCAUACUUGUCCUAAUAGAGACAGGUUAGUCAGGGUUACUUGAGUAGCCUACAAAACUAUCAUCCCUAGUUGAAAUGCUCUUUUUGGCAGUGGCAGCUAGAAGCUCGAUCGAUUGACCUACAAGACUAGUUGUCAUCAUUUUAAAAAGAGUUUUGGCUUUGGUUGUGAGUGCAAUUGAAUCUAAACUAACAUUUCCUUAAUGCAUCUACUUCAAUCCUAAACUUCUUACUUAAGCCUCAAUUGUUGUUAAGAUUUUGGAAAACCCAUUUCCUUAAAUUGUAAAUUUAAGAAAAAAAAAAUUAAAAGUGAGACAUUUCUUGAUUGAAUGUUGUUAAAGGUCCCUUGGAAUUAAGACUUGGUUGAAGCCUUGGAAGAUUAGCAGAACUCUCAACUUAUGUUUGAACCUUGAGGAGAGUGGACGUAGGCCAAAAUUUUGUCAAACCAUUAUACAAAUUGAGUUUGAAUUCUCAUUUCUUGAUUUCUUAUUUAUUUGCUUUUUCUUAUUAUUACUUGAAUUGUCAUUUGCAUUCAUUAAUGUUAAAAUUGGUUAUAAUUAGCCAACACUAAUUCUCUUUCCCCUUCCCUUAAUUUCUUGGGUGUAAACCUAGGUUGGAUUAACUAGAUUUUAUCAAAUCUAUUAAGAUGGUAAAAGAAUAAUUAUUCUUAACAUACAUAAGAUCAUCUUCAAUCAAAUGACUCAUUGGCUGAUAUGUUGAAUUUGCUUAUUACUUGCAACUCAAAAUUGUGUUCUAGUUGAUAUGUCAAGUCCUGAGUGUAUGGACAUUAAAUUUGUAGUACGUGAUGAGUAUUUAGAUGGUCCAAUUCCAAGAAAGUGAUUGAAAACUAGUUCAAGAAAGGUGCAAAAGGGAAUUGUUUUGGUAUUUUCGUUUUUAUUCUUGAAGGUGGCAGAGCUAAAAUUUGAGAAAUCAAGCAAAACAUACUGAAAUUACAUUGAAAGAAAGAAAAUGGGAGUUAAUGUCUUGCAGUACAUGAUAAGGACUUCAUGCAUGUAGUGUGACCCAUGUCUUGGACUGAUGCCACACUCACGGUUACACUUAUACCCUUAGUUCUCUCUUUACUACCUUAGCUAACCUAGAUCAGGUUAUGAGAUAGGCACCUCACCACACCAUUACUUGCCCAUUAAUUAGUGACAUUUUCAAGCAAUGAGGUAACAUGGUGACACCAAGAGGGUAUAUUCCUCACCCCCAACAAGCCUAGACCUGGUCUAAAAAAAAUGGAGAAAAAUGACGUGUUGUUAUGCAGAAAUAUAGCAACCAUGCCUUCCUCAUUACUUAGAUUCAGAAUGUGAAGGUGAAAUUGAGAAACAGAAACUCUUGAAACCAAAAUGAAAAUUGAUACUUUUACGAAGAAUUACAACAACAUUAGAGGAAGACUACAUUCUUCCUCUUUAUUCCUACAUUUCUACACUACUUCUACUCCACUCCAUAUUUCUACAUACAUCUUUAAUCAGUCUUCCCUCCUUUAUAUAGAGCCAUCUUCACACAAAUUCCGCAAGGUAGAAAAGAGGAAUGAAACUUGGAGCAAGGUUCGACUACUGGCUGUAGCUUGUCAAGGCUGAAAGUGAACUUUUUUUCUUGGCUUUUCUGGGCAUAGGUAGUAACUUGUAGGUUCCUUUUUGGAAUGAAAAUGGUACGGCUAGAACAUGUGGCACUCUCUUGUUGGAUGAUGUGUCAAGCAUGUGGCAGCCAUCUAGUGGAGAUUAUGUCAAUUUUGGGAUGGAGAGUUGGCAUCCAAUUGCAAAGAAAUAUGACAUCUACCAACAUGCAAUGUCAACCUAUGUAGAUCAUAUGAAGAUAGAGAGGAAAAAUAUAGAAAUGGAUAUAUAACUAGAACUAGCUUUUUAUUAAAUGAGACGGAGAGCCAACAAUGAAGGAAAAUCAAAAUUUUUGGCUCAUAUCAAAGAAUUCACAUUGUGUUACCCUAGGUUUUCUUAAAACUUACUUUUAUGAUAAUAAAAAAUCAUUAUUGUUUAAUCCUUUGUUUUAAACGCAUGUUUAGCAGGUUGUAAAAUGUAAAUAUCUUUCGAAAUUCAAAUAUGAAGAUAUGACAUCAUUUCAAGCAAUAUAGUCUCUAGGAAUUAAUGUAAAGCUAAAUUAAGGUGCAAUUAAGUUAGUUCAAUGCAUUAUUUUAAGAAACUUGACCUAUCAAAACCUUGUCUUACUUCAAAGCCUCUUUUUCUUUUCUUCCAACUAACAUUUUAAUAAGUGAUCGCAAAAGUACAAAAUUAGAUGAAAUCCAUUUCAAUGGUUAAAAUGAUCAAAUUCAAACUUUUUCUAAGUAUCUUUUAAAAGCAUCAAUAUUGAAAGACAAUUUUAUAUUUAGUCAAAGCUUGGACAGAGCCAAAAAGCACACAAAAAUUUAUAUUUUCUAGCUCUCUACCUUGGAUGGUCUCUUGAUCCUACUUGGAGAUGUGCAUAAAUAAAAGGAUUUGAAAAUGACAAUUGACUAAGUAUGUAGUCAAUCAAUUACUCAUUGAUUGACUAGUUGAUCAAUUAACUUUGCAACAUCAUAUGCAAUCCUAAUAGCUAGUCAUCUAAUCAACUAGGUAGUAAAUCAAUAGGCCAAAAAUAUGUUUAUAAUGACUAUUUUGUACAAAAACCACUUAUAUAGUUAAAUAUAAUGCAUUUCAUUUAUAAAUCUUCUAAUUCUUGAAUAACAAUCCUAUCAUCCUUUGAAAGUUUUUAUUACACCUUUUCUACAUUUGUUCUAAAACUUAUACAUCACCCUUAAUUGUACCAUGAGAACCUAGCAUUUUUUUUUUUUUUUUUGUAUUUCAUCAAAGUUAGCUCUUGUACUCAUUGUUGUAUUAUUUUUAUUGUAACUUAGAGAGCGAGUGUUUUCAAGUGAGUGAAAUUGACUUGUAAAUAUUGUAAAGAUUCAUUGAUAUGUAUCUCAAACUAGGUGUACAAGUUGAAACAUUUGCUAGUAGAUUUUCUCAAGAUUUAGAAUGAGCUUAAGGCUAUCGAAUUAGGUGGGGUUGCGCCAAACCAUAUCACAUCGUUGUUUGCACCUUUUUUUUCACUCUCUUUUACUUAGUUGCUCUAUAUAUAUUGUCUAGCAAUAUCCUAAAGGCUUGAUGGGCUAGGGAGCAUCCCUCUGAAUGAAAAAUUUUCAUUCAAUUCUUAGUUGUAUUACGCAUAUAUAAAAUGCCUCAUUGUUUUAAUGGUAUUCAGUCGUGGCACCACAGAUAUGGACAUCUAAAUUUUAAAAGUUUGAAACUUUUAGCUAAAGAAAAUAUGGUGCUUUGCCUUUUUGGAAAGCAUGUUGAUGAAAUCCAUGAGAAUUGUAUACUUGGAGAGCAACAUCGAGAUAACUUUUUUUUUUUCUUUUUUUAUAAUGCAUUGUUUGUCCAAAUUCCGUACAAAUUAGGCCACCACAUGUUCAUAAUUCUCCCUUCUUGAAUUUGAAAACUCGGACAAUUUGACAAUGCGACACCUAAGUCCGGUUUUUAAAUGCUAAAGUGAAAGGGCAGGUAUGGACCAUUGAAAUGUGAUAACAACUUUUGGCCUUUUCCUUUUCUCUGUAGCCAUGUUGUCUCUUUUUAAUUUCUUUUGCAUGAUUUUCUUACCUAAACAGAAUCAUAGACUUGUUUAAUCUCUAAGUGGGAUUUCAUCCACCUUAAGCUACUGUAUUAUAUCUCGGUGGAGGACAACCGACAUAGAGCACAUGCAAGUGGGUAUAUGGGACAUGAAAUAUCUUCUUAUAAAGCUUGUUUUGCAGUUAAAUUAAUUGGAUAAGUAGACACUGGCGUUUCUAAAUUUCCCACCUAAGAUAAUGACCUUAUCCUUGACUGCUAGAUACACAAACAAUUAUACCUUCAAAAUCUACUGUGAAGUGCUUCAUGUAUGUGUGAAGUAUUAGAAAUUUCUUUCUUGGCAACUUGUUUUUUUCUUUGCGGUCUACUGAUAGGUUUGACUAAAAUUAUAUUCCCUGUCCUGCUAAUUAAUUUUCACGUGCAUGCUCAAAAGAAGAGUAUGACCUUAGUGCACCAAAAUCACUUUCAAUAAUUUGUGAUAAGUUUUUUUGCAUGACAUUAACCUUAUUCAUUUAGAUAAUGUUUAGUUCUCAUAAAUAUUAAGAAAAUGAAAAUAAAUAUUAAGAAAAAUAUUCUUAUAUUUGAUUGUAUUAUGAAAAAUAUCAUAAAAAAUCAAAUAUAAUUAAAAUUAAUUAAUAAUUUAUAUAUUUUAAAAUUAUUUAAUUUUUAUAUUAAAGAUAUAAUAUAAAUGAAAUGAGUUUUAAGUAUUAUAUAAAAAUGAUUUAUUUAUUUAUUUAUAUAUAUAUAUAUAUAUAUAUUUAGUUUUUCUCUUUAUUUUAUUUUCCUUAUGUUUUCCUCACAUUUUCCGGAAUCAAAGAUAGGGAAAUCCACAAUUACCUUCAACUGAGUAGAUUCUAUUGUUUUAGCAAUGUUAGGCUGCUAACUUGUGGUGGUACGAACCAAAUGAUCCAUGUUAAUCUUGGCUUGAUUUAAUUUGGCUCUAUCUCAGAGAACUCAAGGAUCACGUCAACUCUGGUUUCUACUAUUCAGGUCCAUUCCCAGAUGAACUGGUUCAAAUUUGAGAAAAUGGUAACAGACCUUUAGUGAUAUUGGUUUGGAGCCAGUUGCCAAACCUGCCCUGAGCUUUACCACUAAUGUCAAGGGACAAAGCCAUUUGAACAAAAACAAUAGCUUCAAGAGACUGAAUCGUGGAUGAAAUCUGAUCCACAUUUCUUCUCAUUUUGGGAAAAAAUGAGGACUUAACCACAAAGAUUCUACUGCCUCAUAGUGCUUUUCCUGAUCUAAGGUUGGCUCGUUUCCCAAAUUGUGAGGUGCACGUGCCACUCUCACGCUCAGGAGUGUAUCCACGUGGUGGACAUAAGAUGGUGGCUUAAUAUCUGGUGUCGGUGGCUUUACUUUACUAGGAGAGUAGUGUGUCUUCAUCUCAUUCACUGCCAGAGGGUGGCGUAAGCAGUGACGCUAAGGUGGGGCACAGUCAAUAUCAUUUGCAUUUGACCAUUAUAAUUUUCUCCCGGCUUUAAAGUAACCUUAUCGUGAUAAUGGAUUACUAGCACUAGUUCAGAUGACAGUCAUGUUAAAUUCGGACCAUGUUUGUGUCACAUUAUCAGCAACCAUGUGCUUGUGGUUCAUGCUAUCUGCAACUAAACUUGAUAUAUAACCAGGUGAACUUCAAUCUAAAUUCUGGAAGUACUCAUGUGAUAGAUGGUGCCUGUCUGCAGUGAGUGUAUCUAUAAGAGGGAAGGCUUGGCAAAUGUUCAGUUUUCUGGGAAUUCAACAGGGAUCUAAAAUAGAUUGUUUUCUUUGCUGAUUUCAAUGGUUGAAAUUUGAGAAGAUUGUGUCCACAUAACACAACUAUUACUGGUCCUUCUGUUGCAAUUUAUCCUCUAAGGCUCUAACAUGUCUUCCAAUUCCCACUUCCCACUUCCCUGUUACUCCAGGAAAGCUGUUUCUGUCAUUGUGAAGAAGAAAAGAGACUGUACAUAUCGAUGCUUUUAAGUGGACUGGAGAAUUCAUAUCAGGUGGUCUGCAGCCAUACAUGCCACUUUGUGAAGGUUGGAACAGUCAAUCACUAGGCUAUAUUAGUGGGGCCCAGCCACUUCAAUCAAGGACAAGUCUUCAUACUUAAAGUCAAAUUCUGCCUUUAGUCUCAUUAUAAAUUGCUGUUUAAAUAUCAAGCAAACAUUUGUUUAAUGCGAUUAAGACAGCACUAACUCAAUACUUGUUCUAUUUUUGGAUGCAAAUGCUUGAUAGUUUCAUCAUUGGAGGGGAUAAAGGUGCAUUCAUGAUUAUGAAUACUUGUAGUUAUAUUUUCAUUCUCUUUUUUCUCAAUGGGACUUGUUGGCACAAUUUUGCUGUUCAGAAACCUACCUCUCCAUGGAAAAUCAGUUGUGAUUGAUAUUACUGGAUAUAUUCAAGAAAGCUAAAUGUAGAUAGCACAAAAUAUUAUCGACAUAAAUAGCAUUAACAGCGUACGUAUGUCUCAAUGCUCAUCAGCUAUAAGCAAGGGGCAAACACUUACUAUGAGCAACUUACGUCAAAAUUCCGGAAUAGGACAUAGAAGUGACAGGUCAGUAAAUAUAGAACACUGCAUAUGAGUCACAAGAAAGGAAAUUACGGGUACAUAGCAGCUCUUAUUUUACAUCCUACUCAUACUGAUCAAAGUCACUCAGUUGGGAUGGGUGGGAGUGGGAGGUUUGUGGGGUGGCUUGUGCGGAGGAGUUGGCAGCUUCUUUCCAGGACCUGGUUGCUUCUCUGCUGGAGUUGAAGGAGGCUUAAUCUUCCGAGGUGGCUUGUAUGAGUCUUCAGCAUUCUCAGCAGGAGGGUGACCAGGGUUGUGACCACAAUGUGGUGGCUUCUCUCCCUUAGGUGGUUUGCCAACUGGGGUUGGUGGCUUGUGUUCCGGAAGUGGCUUCUCUUUGUGUUCAGGAGGUGGCUUCUCCACUGGAGGCUUGUGUUCAGGAGGUGGCUUCUCCACCGGAGGCUUGUGUUCAGGAGGUGGCUUCUCCACCGGAGGCUUGUGUUCAGGAGGUGGCUUCUCCACCGGAGGCUUAUGCUCUGGUGGUGGCUUCUCCACCGGAGGCUUAUGCUCUGGUGGUGGCUUCUCCACCGGAGGCUUAUGCAAUGGUGGUGGCUUCUCCACCGGAGGCUUGUGUUCAGGAGGUGGCUUCUCUACCGGAGGCUUAUGCUCUGGUG